RNAcentral lists this long non-coding RNA (56196 nucleotides) under Mytilus galloprovincialis (Mediterranean mussel). The record is from RNAcentral. Lineage: Eukaryota; Metazoa; Mollusca; Bivalvia; Mytilida; Mytilidae.
UGGGUAUUAUUUUAAUGUUGCAUUUAUUUGCAUAAUUUGACAACCCUGCAUACCAAGGUAUCCACUUCAGGGACUCUAACGAAAUGAUUCACACAGGCGUUGGUUCACCACAUGGAGUUUAAUUUGUUAUUAUUUUUUUGUGAACCCCUGCAUCCGAAAGGAACCGCCUUGCUACACGCGCCGAUCUACAGGCCACCAGCAUUUACAUGGACCAAGGAAUAUUACAUACUUGCGACGAAAUAACAACUGAACCAAGAUGACCAAGAUGUCCGAUACCACCUUAACAUCUAUAAAUGAUAGCAGAUAUAAAUGAUAGCAGAAGAAAUGUACCAUGGGCGCCGAUCUUAAAGGAACUUGCUUGGAAUUCAUAACCAUGCCAUUAAACAGACCAACUACUGCAGACGAUCCAACAAUUAUAUAGAGUCACCAAAUAAUUUACAAGGGAGCAAUUUUUGACAAUUUUAUUUUCCAUAGCGGCAACCAUAAUCUUCCUAUUGUUGCCAACGGUUAGGAAGUAGUAACUUCCAACAAUGGCCAGGUUGGAAGAGAAGCCUUGUGAAGUGGUAGGAACCAUGGGAAGUUCGUCCAAUUAGAUACCAAGCCUUCAGAACAAUUUCAUGUAUCAUAUAAUAGUAAAACGAACUCAAAUUACUUUGUAAACAAACUUUAAUUUUCUAUAUUUAUCUUAUCUAUUUAUAACUCUGUAUUGCUACUUUCACUUUUCAUUGUUUCUCUCACCAUGAACUCAAUUCAAUGCACCACUUUGAGUAUACAGGGAUUAAUUUCUGUAUAAAAAUUGUCCUGAUGAACCUGCCUUGCAGGCGAAACAUGUAGACCAUAGCAAAUAAAAUUGCAGACCAUUCGAAGUGUUGUUGUCAAUUUUGGGUAUUAUUGUAUUAAUCUUUGAAAGUGUGUAAAUGAUAUUUUAUUAUGUAUACUUAUAAUAAUAAUGCAUGUAUAAAUAAUGUAAUAACAAUUGUACCUAUUGUAAUUAUAUAAGUUAAAGCUAAUUUCACAACUUCUAGGUGAAGUAUCAAUAUUAUAAAAACUUUUAAUUUAUUUUAGCAGAUGGAAAAAUAGCUAUGGAAACGUAGGUCAUAGGUCCUUAUGGUAUUUAUUUUAGGUUAUGGUCUGAAAAUUGUAAAAAAAAUAUGAUAUGGACCUAUGGAAAUACUGCCAAACGUUCCUUAACAACCACCUGCUGUUACUGACCUAUUUUCACUGUCUUAAAAGCCCAGGAUCAGCAACUUUCUAAAAAGUGGAAUUGUGCUACCAUUUUGAUGAUCAAUGUGGACAUUACUUACAUUUAAUCUUGGCUGAUUUUUUUGCAAGGGUUGCAUAGUCUAGGAUUGUGGAAUGUUGAUAUUCAAACAAUCGGCAAUUCCUUAGCAAAUCCACUAGAACUGAAUGGACCAAGUUUAGACAAUUGAUAACCAUAAAAAAAGAUAAUCAGGAAGCCAAAUAUCACUUAUAGCUAAUUACAUUUAUUUUAAAGUUCAACUCGAUUGGAUUGAACAGAGCUAUUGUCAAUACAAUGUAAUGUGAUUGUGACAAAAUUGCUAAAAAUGAUGAUGAUGAUGUUAAUGAUUUCAUAACAUAAUUAGCAUGUCUAGCAAAAUAGAAUUUUCGUGACAGUAAUAUAGGAACAAGCGAUCAAUCAUCAAACUAUAUUUUUAAUUUAAUAAAAAAUAUUUGUAAGACAUUGCAUGAGGAAACAAUUUAUAUAAAAUAUUAAUGAACAUGUGGGGGCUCUACACCCUGGGGUAUUUUCACAGGAAUUAGAUUGGACAUAAUAAUAAGAACCUUGUUUUGUGAUUUAUGAACAAAUACAAAAAUACUGAAAGUCAAGGAAAACAUUUUACAAUAUUAUGAUCAGUUCUCAUAAUUAGUCAUAGUGGAUAUAUAUAUACAAGACCAAUUUAGAAUGUUUUUCUUGCACUAAAAGUUCAAAAGUUAUAAUGUACAUAAAUGCUUCCUUCUAUUUAAAAUGAGGAACCUGUAUUAAAAACAACCUGUAUUACAAGACUACUUUUGCCUCCUCCUUUGAGUGGUCUUUUUAAAACAUGUUUGACUAUAUAGCUGAAAUAUAAUAUUUGUAUUGAUACAUUUAAUAAAUAAAUAAUAACUUGUUUAUGGAUAUUUGUGUUUGAUAAAAAUGUUGCUGUUGGAGAUGACUUAUAUCACCAUAUUUCUCAUCAUAAUGAUAUUGAUAGUAAUCACUUUUCAUUUUACGAAAUUUUCAUUUGAUCUUGCUGACUGAUAAUUUCCUUACUUAGCGGUGUCGAGUGAUAUGUCAAAUUAUCGCUAGAAACUAAAAGGCAUAUGGCUUUGUCAAUAAAAUUUACAUGAAAAUGGCAACAUCGUCAUAGGUAAAAUAGCAAUAAACAGUUUAUCAUUGGUCAUCUCAACUCAAUUGCUUUUCUCACUUUUGCCGUUCCAGAUCAAGUGAGAAAAUCAAUCUAGUUGAGAUGAUCAACGAUACAUUUGUAAUCUAUAAUUCUCUUUGCAAAAUGUUUUUAUGCCCCACCUACGAUAGUGUUUUCUGGUCUGUGCGUCCGUCCGUCCGUCCGUCUGUCCGUUAGUUCGUCCGUCGUCCGUCCUCGCUUCAGGGUUAAAGUUUUUGGUCAAGGUAGUUUUUUUGAUGAAGUUUAAGUCCAAUCGACUUCAAAACUUAGUACACAUGUCCCCUAUGAUAUGAUCUUUCUAAUUUUAAUGCCAAAUUAGAGUUUUUACCCAAUUUCACGGUCCACUGAACAUGGAAAUGAUAGUGCGAGUGGGGCAUUCGUGUACUGAGGACACAUUCUUGUUGUAUUAAUUAUACCCCAUGCAACAAAGUUGCGAAGGGUAUAAUGUUUUUGACCCGUCCGUCCGUCAGUCCUGUUUUUUGUCAUCGCAACUCCUCUCAAACCCACACAACAGAAUUCACGAAACUUUUUCAGAUGAAAAGACAUACUAUGUAGUUGUGCAAUCGAAGAAAUUGCGAUUCAAUUUUUUUAAAGAGUUACGCCCCUUUGAUCUUAUUUGCUUAAUGUACUACUGCAACAGUUUGUCAUCGCAACUCCUCUGAAACUACACAACAGAAUUUCACGAAACCUUUUAGAUAAUAAGAACAUACUAUUUAGAUGUGCAUAUCGACAGAAAUUACGAUUCAAUUUUUUUCUAGGAGUUACCCCCUUUGAACUUUUACUUUAUUGUACUACUGCAACAGUUUGUCAUCGCAAACUCCUCUGAAACUAACAACAGAAUUUCAUGAAACCUUUUAAGAUAAUAAGGACAUACUAUGUAGAUGUGCAUAUCGACAGGAAUUACGAUUCAUUUUUUUUCUAGGAGAUACAUCUCUUUGAACUUAUUUGCUUUAAGGUACUACUUCAACAGUUUGUCAUCUCAACUCCUCUGAAACCACACAACAGAAUUUCAUGAACAUUUGUAGAUAAUAAGGACAUACUUGUAGAUGUGCAUAUCGACAGAAAUUACAAUUCAAUUUUUUUUCUAGAUUACGCCCCUUUGACUUAUUUGCUUCAAUGUACUUCUGCAACAGUUUGUCAUCUCAACUCCUCUGAAACCACACAACAGAAUUUCAUGAAAUUUUGUAGAUAAUAAGGACAUACUAUGUUGAUGUGCAUAUUGACAGGAAAAUUAUUCAUAUUUUUUCUAUACAAUUUUUUUUCUACACUUAUUUAAUUUCUCCAAUGACAAUGUGGGGACAUGGGGUAUGUGAGCGUGCUCACUAAGGUUCUUUAUUUCUAAUUUUACAGGUCUAUUUAGUAUCUGUUCGUCCAAAAGGAACUGUCCUGUAUAUAACAGAGGACAGUGGAAAAAGUUUUGUAUCUGUAAACCUUGACUUCCAGAUAGAUGGACAAUUACAUUUUAACCCUAAAAACAAAGAUUAUUUGAUGGCAUCGUCAAGUGUUCUUACAGUAAAGGUUUGUUUUUAUUUUAUUCCCACAUUAUCAUUAUGGAUGUUUUUUAAAUAAUCAGAUUUUUUACAGAUAUUCAAAAAAAAAAAAAGAAGAAAAAAUUGUUAUUAUUAGAUGUUGGACUGGUUUUCAAAAUGUGAGUUGCUAUCUUGCAUGUUUUGAUGAUAGGAAAGUAAUAUCAGAUGUAUCUGGAUAGAUAGCCAAUCAUUGAGAGCCAUUCAAAGUGUUGAUCAAUUCAUUGUGGAAUUUAUAUUGGAGAUAAUAAGAAUAUAGUGAAGGAAUGUCUUUAAUAAAAAUAUAGUGAAGAAAUGUCUUUGAUAAAAAUAUAGUGAAGAAAUGUCUUUGAUAAAAAUAUAGUGAAGAAAUGUCUUUGAUAAAAAUAAAGUGAAGAAAUGUCACGCUAACAUAUUUUAACAAAAAUAUAGUGAAGGAAUGUCACGCUAACAUAUUUUAAUAAAAAUAUAGUGAAGAAAUGUUUCACUAACAUAUUUUGAUAAAAAUAUAGUGAAGACAUGUCACGCUAACAUAUUUUGAUAAAAAUAUAGUGAAGUAAUGUUUCACUAACAUAUUUUGAUAAAAAUAUAGUGAAGAAAUGUCACGCUAACAUAUUUUAACAAAAAUAUAGUGAAAGAAUGUUACGCUAACAUAUUUUAAUAAAAAUAUAGUGAAGAAAUGUCUUUGAUAAAUAAAGUGAAGAAAUGUCACACUAACAUAUUUAAACAAAAAUAUAGUGAAGGAAUGUCACGCUAACAUAUGUUAAUAAAAAUAUAGUGAAGAAAUGUUUCACUAACAUAUUUUGAUAAAAAUAUAGUGAAGAAAUGUCACGCUAACAUAUUUUGAUAAAAAUAUAGUGAAGAAAUGUCACACUAACAUAUUUUAAUAAAAAUAUAGUGAAGAAAUGUCCUGCUAACAUAUUUUGAUAAAAAUAUAGUGAAGAAAUGUCACGCUAAUACGAGUCUUGUGAUUUAAGAUGAUAUUGUGCUCCUAUUCAUAUGUAUGUUAGAGGUUCUUCCAUCCUAUUGACACAACUGGCAUAUACCAUGAUACAUAGAUACAAGAAGAUGUGGUAUGAGUGCUAAUAAGUCAACUGUCAUCUAUAUUUAUCAGGUUUGGAUCAAUCCCUGAACUUGGGGGUUCACUUAAAUAAAAACCCUUUUGAUAUAUACAUAGUCAAAUAUUAAUAUUAGUUAUAUUACAACACAGAGUCUGUUUGACUGUAAUCAUGGUUUACAUCUACCUAAGUUUACAAGUUUAAGAAAGAACAGACAGAAUAGCUAUAAAUAUACCAGAAUAUUUACUUUAAAUUUCUUUUUCUUGAUAUUUGCAAAACACUCAAUUCAACUUGGAGCACUAUUUAUUUAUCUGACGACAGCCUAGACUUACAUGGUUUACUGAAUCAGAUUUAAUGUCAUGUGGCAUUGUAAUAAAAAAACCAGAGGAAGAUAAAUAUGAAACCAAGAGAUGAAUUUAAGUGUCAGUCAACCAAGACAGCAACUUUUGAAUGAUUUAGUUGCUUAUAAUAAUAGGAAACAUUGUUCAGGGCUAAAAGUUAUUUUUGUAUAAAUCUCUGAUACAUGUAUUAUGAUCGGUGAUAAGAAUUUUACUGAUUCUAGAAAAAAUCCAAAGAAAUAAAAAGACAGGUAAAGUACUACUUAUCUCCCUUUAUGUGUCGUCAUUGCUUACCAUUGUUAUGUUUGUUGUAUGUGCUAGAAAAUUAUAUGUGAAAACGAAUAGUUGUUCAGACUUGUCAAAUGGUAAAAAAAAUAACAAAAGACACUUACGGCAUUGUAUGUUUUUAUGUAUAUAUAUAUAAAAAAAAUAGUUGUUCAGACUUGAGAAUUAUUUUCGAAAAACUAACAGCAUCCUUAAGCAUUGUAUUUAUGUGUCAAAACAAUUAAUUGCUCAGAUUAUAGAAUGGUGUUUGGUCAUAAAAUAUGCAUGAAAUAUUUGCUGCUAGUGACAACCAACAAUCGAUCAAACAGAUUAAAACACUUGCAGCAUCAAUGUGAUGAAAUAAUAAAAGUACAGGUUCCUUUUAUAAUCAUAAACAGUAUAAUUAAAAAUAUAUUUCCAUUUACUAAUUAUUUCAUAUAUAUCUUCUACUAAUAAUAAAAGUGGCUGUGUUUGAGACAAAAAAACAUUUUUUUUACCAAAGUAGAUAUAAUGAACAUUUUAUAUGGACCGAACUUCCAUUUAUCAAGGGUCUGUUAAAGGCUCAUUUGUAAUGCAAUAUAGUUGAUAUCAAGAUAUAGUUUAUCAUAUAUGUAUGCUCAAUUUAGAUAUUGUAAUUUUUUAAGAAAUAAUGUCAAAACUUUUUGUGUUUCCAAUGUGUAAGAAGUUAAUGUUAAGCACUAAAUAAGUAUGUUAACAAUGGAUAGCAAUGAAUUUCCCAAAACAAAAGUGUUCUCCCGUCAGUAAUGUAUGCAUUAUGUAAGCACCAUUAUUGCAUGUUUUAUCCUUCCUGUAGUAGCUACUAAACACAAUCUUGGUCCGAUCACUGUAUUGCACUGCACAUAUUUGCGUUAUUUCAUGAUUUGUAGGUUGAGAUUUAAAUAUUUGUUACCGUAAAAGUAAUACAUGUAUCCUCAUAUUUUGUGGUAAGAAGAUAGCCAUAUUUUUAUGAACAGCAUUUACAUGAAGUCCUGAAAAUGUCAAUUCAAUAUCAAAACUUUAAUUCUACAAAUUAGCUAAUUGAUAAUUACACUCUAAGAACAAAUGUAGUAUAUUUUGGGUAAGUUCGAUUUGUUUUGAUAGUAUGAUAAAGUGAAAUAAAUAGUGUUUUAAUUGACCUCACAAGACAUUGCAUUGCCCUACAUAGUCUGAAUAUUUUCAUUGCAAAUGGUUGAAAUUCCACUUUGUAAUGGUUUUCUUACAGCUUCCAGAAGAUCAAGUGUGAGUUAAUUAUAACAAAACUCUAAAUUAUCCUGGGUGUUUUUUAUGCGUCACUUUUGUUAUUACCUAUAUUCCAUACACACAUGGUUAAAACUUUGAAGAUGAGAUAAAAAAAAAGUUGUUCAUAUUUACCAUUUAUGUGAGUGAGGAUAAUGGUAAAAACUGGAGAAGAAUUGCAGACUCUGUUCAAGUUUUUAAAUGGUAAGUAUGAUUCAAAACCACAUAUGUGAUGUAAAAGGAGGCUCAGUGCAAAUGGAAAAGCCAUUGUUUGAAGGGUUGAUUUUGUUUUAAAUGACCAUCAUCUAAAUAGAAUUGGGAAAUUUUCUUUAAAAUAAAAAAAUGAACACACAGCACAUGUACAUCAAAAGUCUUAAUAGUUAUAACGUUGCCACAAGUCUGAAAACUAUAACACUGGACAAUAGGAAUAUAAGUGAAUGAAAAUCAUUAUGAAGCUGUAUUCCAUACAUGUAAGUGUACAAGGAAAUUUAUUAUAACAAAAAAACAGUGUUUUAUUGCCAAUUUUUGUUAGAUUAUACUAAGAUAGGUAAUAAGAUAUGAUAAGAGGAUAGUAUUUUACUUUCCUGACAAUAAUAUUUCCAACAUUUCAGGGGUUUCAAUUCAAAAGUGGAUACAGAUCAGACUAUAUAUGCAGCAAUUGAUUCAGCUAAUACUCAUCCAUUCUUUGCCACAUGUAAGUUUUUGUAUGUCAUACCAAUGGAGAGGUAUUUUGGGCUAUUUCUCUUAUACAGGUAUUUCAUCUUAAUGUCAACAUUACAUGAGUUUUCAAUUUUCCCAAACUGUAAUAUAGGAUGACUGCCAUUGCCUCUGAUUUUCUGAAUGUUAUCUUAAAUCUUAAAAUUUGGGCCAAAUUAGAAAACAAACUCUUUAUAUGGUCUCCUUUCAUCUCGUCCCUUUAUUGACUCACUGAUGAUGACUACUUUAUUAUCUGACCGUUUGAGAUAGUAUCAUCUUUCCUGAAAUAUUCUACUAGCAAAAAUUGAACCAAAAAAAAGAAGGAAGCAUAGGGUUCCUAUGUUAAGGUACUUUUAGAUUGGAAUAGGAGUUUGAGUAGUUUCUGAAAGAGUUUUGUUCUUGAAAAUCCAGAAAAUGAUGAAAAUCCCCUUCAAACCCUAUAUAUUUAAAUUUAGAUUCAACUGGAGGUUCAUCUUUUUGUUAAAAAAAAUUGAGUUGGUCCUCAUGUGCAAAAAGCAUUUUUAUACGACCGCAAAAUUUGAAAAAUUUUUCGUCGUAUAUUGCUAUCACGGUUGCGUCGGCGUCGGGUCGUCGUCGUCGUCGUCGUCGUCGUCGUCGUCUCCGAAUACUUUUAGUUUUCGCACUCUUACUUAGUAAAAUGAAUGGAAAUCUAUGAAAUUUUUAACACAAGGUUUAUGACCACAAAAGGAAGGUUGGUAUUGAUUUUGGAGUUUUGGUCCCAACAUUUAGGAAUUAGGGGCCAAAAAAGGGCCCAAAUAAGCAUUUUCUUGGUUUCGCACUAUAACUUUAGUUUAAGUUAAUAGAAAUCUAUGAAAUUUUGACACCAAGGUUUAUGACCACAAAGAAGGUUGUAUGAUUUUGGGAGUUAAGUCCCCAGUUUAGGAAUUAGGGGCCAAAAGGGACCCAAAUAAGCAUUUUUUCUUGGUUUUCGCACCAUAACGUUAGUAUAAGUAAAAGAAAUCUAUGAAAUUUAAACACAAGGUUUAUGACCAUAAAGGAAGGUUGGUAUUGUUUUGGGAGUUUUGGUCCCAACAGAAUAAGGGCCCAAAGUCCAAAAUUAAACUUUGUUGAUUUCAUCAAAAUUGAAUAAUUGGGGUUCUUGUAUGCCGAAUCUAACUGUCAUGACUGGGUAUGUAGAUUUCUUAACUUUUUGGUCCCGUUUUCAAAUUGGUCUACUAAGGUCAAGGGUCCAAAUUAAACUUAGUUUGAUUUUGACAAAAAUGAAUCAGUUAGGUUUCUUUGAUAUGCUGAAUCUAAAAUGUACUUAGAUUUGGAUUAUUGGCCCAGUUUUCAAGUUGGUCCAAAUCGGGGUCCAAAAUUAAAUUUUUUGAUUUCAUCAAAAAAUUUAAUAAAUGGGGUUCUUUGAUAUACCAAAUCUAACUGUGUAUGUAGAUUCUUCAUUUUUGGUCCUGUUUCAAAUUGGUCUACACUAAAGUCCAAAGGGUCCAAAAUUAAACUUAGUCUGAUUUCAACAAAAAUUGAAAUCUUGGGGUUCUUUGAUAUGCUGAAUCCAAAAAUGUACUUAGUUUUUUAUUAUGGGCCCAGUUUUCAAGUUGGUCCAAAUCAGGAUCUAAAAUUAUUAUAUUAAGUAUUGUGCAAUAGCAAGUCUUUUCAAUUGCACAGUAUUGCGCAAUGGCAAGAAAUAUCUAAUUGCACAAUAUUGUGAAAUAGCAAAUUUUUUUUUAAUUAGAGUUAUCUUUCUUUGUCCAGAAUAGCAAGCAAGAAAUAUCUAAUUGCAAAAUAUUGUGCAAUAGCAAGAUUUUUUUUUAAUUGGAGUUAUCUUUCUUUGUCCAGAAUCAACUUAAAUCUUUGUUAUAUACAAUAUACAAUGUAUAUUCACUUUUUACUACCAACUGAUAAAUUAAAAUAAUCUUUACCAUUCAGUGAUAACAAGCAGUUUUUUUACAUCUUAAUAUUUUAUGAUGUAUUUAAAUGAGUAGUUAUUGUUGCAAACUCCAUUAGAAAUUUUAAUUGAGAUUAGUUUUGGAAUAAGGGAAAGGGGAUGUGAUUAAAAAAAUUGGGAUCAAUUUUUCUCAUUUGAAAUUUCAUAAAUAAAAAGAAAAUUUCUUCAACAUUUUUUUGAGAGGAUUAAUAUUCAACAGCAUAGUGAAUUGCUCUAAGAGAAAACAAAAAUUUUAAGUUCAUUAGAACACAUUCAUUCUGUGUCAGAAACCUAUGCUGUGUCAACUAUUUAAUCACAAUCCAAAUUUAGAGCUGAAUCCAGCUUGAAUGUUGUGUCCAUACUUGCCCCAACCGUUCAGGGUUCAACCUCUGCGGUCGUAUAAAGCUACGCCCUGCGGAGCAUCUGGUUUCAUUUAUUUUUUUUUUACUUGAAAGAAUUUGAAAUUUAGCUGGUUUUUUUUUUCUUCGAUUGUUUACUUUAACUGGACCUGCAACCCGAAAUAGUUGUUUCCUAUGUGUAUUUAAAUAAUAAACACAAUCAGUAGUUAUAUGCCCUUUGGUUUACACUAUUUGUAAAAGUAUUUGGCCACCCCUCAAAAAAAACUUAUGUUUAAUUUUCGAAGUUCAUAUAUGAGCUUAAAAUGAACAUUAAAACUGAGAAACAUGACAAUAUUCACUGGGGUAAAGCUGAUGACCGUAACUGCAUUCACGGUCAUCCCAAGAUGUCGGAUGAAAAAUUAGGUCAGUAUCUGUAUUGUCUGUUACAGUGUUUCUAUAUCAUUUUCUUUACAAAGUAUAUAUUGAUACGAUGUAAAUUUAUAAAAGAUUCACACAGAAAUCACAAAUUACUACCGAAAAAUGUUCAGGAAACGCGAAAAUUCAAUUUGAAAAAAUCGCUAAGAUGUCCGUAAAUCAUUAUUAAAAUAUUUUCAAGAUGACCGUAACAUAAAACAAGGAUGACCGUGAUUGAUAAACAGAUGACCGUGAUUGGUAAACAGAUGACCGUAACUUGUAAAAGAUGACCAAAAUUUGUAAAGAAUGACUGUAACUUAUAAAGGAUGAUCGUAACUUUUAAAUGAUGAACCUCAAUUCUAAGAAUAUCCGUAUUUGUAUUCAUAGCUUUUUAAAGCCCAGUUAAAAUGGGAAAAAACUGUAAUUUGGCAUUAUGAUUAGAAAGAUCAUAUCAUAGAAAACAUGUGUACUAAGUUUCAAGUUGAUUGGACUUCAACGUCAUCAAAAACCUCCUCAACCAAAAACUUUAAACUGGGGUGGGACAGACGGACGAACUAGCAGACAAAGGGACGAACAAACGAACGGACGCACAGACCAAAAAACAUAUACCCAUGAGUGGAGCAUAAAAAACACUAAUCAAACAUAUGAAUAUCCGGUAAUCGAGCCUGUGUGUAUGGUUCCAGUGGAGGCAGAUUAAAAUCUUAGUUUGUAUUGAUAUAUAUAUAACAUUGCUGUAUAUACAAAUUGACAAGGUUCUCCUCAGUGGUGGAUCCAAGGGGGGUCCGGGGGUUGGAACCCCCUUUUUAUUAACGGAUCAUUGCAUUUGAAUGGGAACACAUAGUUUGAACCCCCUUUACCCUGGGUUUGGACCCCCCCCCCCUUUUUUUUGAAAAUGGCUUAAUCCACCCCUGCCCCUUGUGAUACGCUAUACGCACAAGACUAUUUUAAGGAUCUAUUUUGCUGGAGCUCGCCUUCACUAGUUUGGUCGUAGUAUUUUAAAAACAUGUUCUGUUAUUUUACUUGCAAGACAAAAUAGAAGGCAAAUCAAAGACGAUAUAAUAUCAAUGGUGUACAUCCAUUGGCAUUUUUUUAAAAGUGCAUUUAUUAUAUGUCAUUACAAGGAAUUCAAGAAAUUAAAAAAAAAACUUUUGGCUUUUAAUUGGAGGCUGUGCAGCACACUUUUUUUUAUUAUACUUGUAAGGCGUCAUUUAAUCGCGCUUUUGUUGCAUGUUUUCCUCACUUUUGCAUGUGCAUGUGCAUGUCCUGUUGUAUGUUCAUUUUAAAAAUUAUACCCUCACCCUUGUUAUGAAUUGCUGAUUCUGUUAUGGUCAUCUCGAUUGUGAUUAUUACGGUCAUCUCUUGCGAUUUUUUUAUAUCGAAUUUCCUGUUUCAUACAUUUCUCGGAAGUAAUUUGUGAUUUCCGUGUGAAUCUUUUCUAAAUUUACAUUGUAUCAAUGUAUACUUUGUAAAGAAAAUGAUAUAGAAACACUGUAACAGACAAUACAGAUACUGACCUAUUUUUUUCAUCUGACAUCUUGGGAUGACCGUGAAUGCAGUUACAGUCAUCAGCUUUACCCCAGUGAAUAUUUAGUGUUUAAUUGAGGAAACAUGCAUACACUUUGAAAUAAAUGGCAUUACGUUGACCUCCAAAUGUAUGGAAAGCCAUUUGAAACAAAUAACAGUGCUUUGGGCAUGACUGUAAUAUUUAGGCCCCUGUAUGGUAAUGGUUAAGAAAUAUAAGCAAGCAACAAUCAAUCAAUCAAAUAAUUAUACCCCUGCUUUGAAAAAGGGGGGUUUACUGUUUUACCUCUGUCUGUCCUUCCAUCAGUCCGUCUGUCCCAUUAAUAUUUUUGUCAAAUUUUUCUCAGGAACUACAAUACAAGGAUUUCUGAAAUUUGGUUUCAGGGUUUAUAUAAGUUAGCUAUACUGUUUAGGAAUUAGGGGUCCAAAACAAGCAUUUUUCUACUUUCAGGAUAAUAACUUGUGUAUAAGUAUUUCAAUUGCUCUGAAAUUGUUCCACAAUGAUUAAUAUCUCAAGUAGAAGGUUUGGAUUGAUAUUGGGGGUUAAUGUGCCAACAGUUUAGGAAUUAAGGGCUGAAAAGGGGCCAAAAACAAGCAUUUUUGUAGUUUCUGGACAUUCUUGUAUAUAAGAGUAUGGAUCUAUCUGACAAAAGGAAGGCUGGUAUUGAGUUUUGGGGUUAUUGCCCCAUUUAUGAAGGAAUUAGGGGCCAAAAAGUGCCAAAAACGAGCAUAUUGUUAGUUUCCAGAUAAUAACUUGUAUUUAAGUGUAUGGAUCUUUCUGAAAUUGUACUACAAGGCUGCGCUCAGCUAAGCGUUUCAUAUUUUUUUUAUUGAAACUAAUAUAAUGAAAAUGUGUCACAAUUAAAGCACAGGCCUCUUAAUCAUGUAAUGGUUAAUAGAGAUCCAUUGUGAGGUUUUUGAAAGAUCUGUUAUGAAACAAGUAAUUAUUUGUUUUUGCAUCAUUAUGCAAUGAUUUUUCUUUACAUUGUAGUUUUUGUAAUCAAGUAUGAUUUAAAGAAGUCGACUGACCUUGGCAAAAGUUGGACAAUUUUAAUGAAAGAUGUGAUAUCAUUUGGACACCAAGACAAGUUUCUUUAUGUAGCUGUACCAGAAAAAGCAGGGGUACUUAAUGAAGUUUCAUGUUCUUAGAUUUAAAGUGGUCCACAAUAAACCAAAUAGUUCUGUUGAUAGACAAAUCAUUCUCAGUUGCAGACUUGACUCUCAUGUACAAGUAGAUGUCUUGACUGUUUUUCAUGGAUAUAUUGUGAGAUAGUCAAGUGUCAACUGAUGUGAAAACAUAUUAAUGUUGCAUAUUUUAGAAAAAAAGACUUACUUAACAUAAAGAUGUCAAAAUUUUGUUAUUUGUAUUUAUUUUUCUAUUUUUAUAUUAAUGCUCUACAAAUCUCUUUUUGUCAUUACAAGUAGGGCAUUUGACACAUUUGUUCACAACCCAUGUUGCAAGCUUGUAAAUUUUAUAUGACAGACCAGUCUUUCAUUCUGUAAAUCAAUCGAUAGGCUUUGAGGCUCUAAAUUCUUUAGGAAUACCUUGGGAAAACUAGAAGCUUGCACAGAUAGCUUAAUUGGUUUAGAUGGCUCAUUUCUGUAAUAUAUAAUUCUUUCUAAUGUACUUAAAAUCAUAUAAUGAAAAUGGAUUUUAAAGCUUAACCUAAAAAUAGAAAAUUAAUAUCCCAAAUAACUGACAUUUUCAUUUUUUACAGAGUUCUCAAAGAAAAAUGUUGGUAUCAACAGAUGGUGGAGCAACAUGGGAUAGAACGUACUUACCAACUAUGAAUGGAGAAAGGGUAAGAAUGAUUAUAUUAACCAGAGGCCAAAACACUGAGCUCUACAGUAAUCAGAUUGUCUGUCUAAUUGUCUGUCAGUUGUUACAAUAUCAUUCUAUGGAAUAGUAAUUGUUGGCAGGACCUUUAUAGGAUAUUUGAUUACAGCGAUUUCAAUGAGUGUGUAGGCAAAGGUAAUAUCUUUGGAUAGCUUGCUUGCUAGCUGAACCGUGAAGUCUUUCUUAGGUUAAGUAAACAACCCUCCUUUAAGAGUAGCCUAGUCCCACAGAUAACCAAUCUAUUUGUCUGUAGGACUAGGAUAAUUUGAAAGGAGAAUAGUACACCUUACCUAACAAAGACUUCACAGUUCAGCUAGCAGGCAAGCUAACCAAAGACGUUACCUUUAGCUACACACUCAUUGAAAUCAGCUGUAAAAUAUUCGGAAAGGGAUGGUUAUCAAGUAUUUGUAAGGCUUAAAUUAAGUGUGUUAGGCUAUAUAAAACUUUCAGUAAUCAUAUAAAAAUAAAUCAUAGAAAUUGAUUUAAACACUUAAAAAGAUUACCUUGCAUUCAGCACAAGGAUCCAGAAAUUUUUUCAUCUCAUUUCGGUCAUUUUGAUACAACUUAAAAAGAUUGUCAAAAUCACAUUACUGCAUGAGUAUGCCAGGGACAGUAUAGAAAGUCCCUGAGUAUGCUCAUACUCGUCACAUCAACAAACUUGUUUAACUGUUGCAUCGCAUUAACUUCAUGAUUUUACCUACCAUUUUCCUACCAUUUUCCUAAAAAUCAAUCAAGAGCAAUUAAGGGAAGGCAACAGUUUAAAAAUAAAAUGAUUUUAAUGACUUAAAAGGAUAAUCUUAUCAGUCAUCGCUCACGUUUCUUUCAAUUUUGAAGUCAAAUUUCAUACCGGAUGUUUUACGACAAUACUAAAACGAACAAUUCCGGACUCAUUUCCGGGAUUAGUUAUGUUUAUCAAAUUCACAGGAAAUCAUCGGCUUUUUAAUUUUCUACCUUUGAUAGUGUUUGACUGUUAAUGAUAAUAGUUACACUUGCUUUAUUAAGCAUGCAAUCAUUUUAAAUUUAUCUUAUAAGUCUUAUCUGUGGAAGAGAAUUUCAAGCAUGCAUAUUACGAAGUAAACAAAGCAUGUGUGUUAGUAGUGAAAAAAUACUUUUUUUAAAUCAAGUUUUAAUUUAAUUUUACAGCUUUUAUAUUAAUGCUAGCAAAACAAACCUUUGUUUGGUUUGCUUGCUUUGUUUGUAACAAUGUUUGCUCAAGCAUGGCAAUUAAGAUAGCCGGGGCUUCAGCUUGUAUACAUCAUACUUAAAUUUUAUUGGACGUUAUGUUUGAGGUUAAGGACACCUAAUCACAUGACAAAUAUUCUCACAUGUUUCCUCACCUGUAAAAAUACAAUAAUUUGUCAAUGAAAGAAAAAUAUAAACUUUUUUUCUUGUAUGAGGCUGAGAAACUGGCCUUCAGCAUUGACCUAAUAUUGUUUUUUUAUAUAUCAUAUCAAUCUAUUAGUUCAGUCAGUUAUUUCCAUGUCUGCCCUUCUAUUAUGUAACUCAAGAAAAUAUUCAAAAAAUGGGAAAACAAUUGUAUCGAAAAGAGGAAAUCGAGUGUACAUUUUUUAUGUUAGGGUGUGUUUGAGAUGAAUAUUUUGUCUUGAAAACGUACAAAGUUAGAGUAUUUGAUACAUCAUCUCGCUUCAGAUUGUAUCAUUUUAAUAUAGUAAAGCUACAGGUUAACUUUAUAACAUAAAAAAAAUCACAGUACUAAAAGAUGAAAUAUAGGGAUGAAGUGAAAUACCUAUCCAAUGGAUCACAAAAUCAGAGUAGGUGUAUUCGAAUAGGUAUUUUACUAAAAGUGCUUGACGACAGUCUUUAAGUUGGAUAUUUGAAAAAAAAAUUGUCUUCCAUUUCUACGAUCAUUGUGAAAAUAAACUGGCGUAAUGGGGAGAUAAUUUCGACGAAGUAAAAUCCUGUCUGUAUUGUAUAUUUACAGGUAAGGAAACAUUUGAGAAUAUGAGUCAUGGGAUGUUAUAAAAUUUAGUGUCCUUAACCUCAAACAUAAUGUCCAAUAAAAUUUAAGUAUGAUGUAUACAAGCUGAAGCCCCGCCUAUCUUAAUUGCCAUGCUUGAGCAAACACUGAUACAAACAAAGCAAGCAAGCCAAACAAAGAUUUGUCUUGCUAGCAUUAAUGUAAAAGCUGUAAAUCAUAAUUGACAAUUGUUUUUGCUAAAAAGUAAUUGAAUAAUGAAGAUAGUUGUUAUGGAAUUUUGAUUUCUUUAUAAUAUUAGUUCUGAGCUAAUGAUUAAUAGCCAGGUGCUAAUUAAAAACACAGGUAAAGAGAUUAGCGAUCAUUAGCCAAUAGCUCCCUGAGGCAUUAAUAUAGUUAUUAGGAGGGCCCUCAGGAUUAUAACACUUUACUGGAGUGGCAGUUUAAUUACAGGAAAUCGAUAAAAAAAACAAAAAGAUGUUCAAAAUGGCGAUUUUGAAACUCGAUCUCAACGAAAUGACCGAAAUUAUUUCUGUUGAAAAAUAAAAUUUGUCCUAAAUCCCAAUUACUCGUUUAGGACAAAAUACUUUCAGUUUAGGACAAGACUGGCAAAUAUGACCAUUUCCGGACCCUUGAUUCAGCAUUUUCUUCAUUUUUAAUAAUUUGAGUUAUGAGGGGGGGUAGGAGGGGUCCUGAUCCCGAAAUCCCGGGCAUAAAAACACGAAAUCCCGAGGUCCCGAUUUAAAAAAAUCUAAAUCCCGAAGUCCCGAAAUCAGAAAAAAAGAAUUCCCGGAUCCCGAAAGGGUCAAUCCCGAAAUCCCGAGCUUAAAAACACCCGAUCCCGGAGUCCCGAUAAAGGUCCUAUCCCCCCUCAGUUAUGACAUCCUCACAUCAAAAAUCUUGUUUAAUUCAUUUAUAUUUCAUGAUAUUAUGGUUUCCAAACAUAAUGUGCAAAUUUGAAAUAGUUAUCAAAAACUUUAUUUUCUGGAGCCAAAAAUGGGUCACCAUGCUUCUUUGUAGAAAAUAACUAUUCAAAAAUACUGCCCGACUUUAACAAUAAAAUAAAAAAAAAAUUAGAAACAAGGGUAAAAAUCCUCUUUCUACUACAGGAAGCUAUCUAAACAUUUUAUUAUACCCCCUGCAAUCAAAGUUUUAUAGGAGUAUAUAGGUGACAGAUCUCACACUGUCUGUUAGUUUGUUUAUAUUCUUUGUAAGUGGAAUUACUUAAUAGCUAGACAUAUAUUGAGGAAAUUUACUCAUUUGCAGAACUUGUCCUUAGGAUUUGCAUGAAGGAAUAUAAUCCAAGUUCAAGGGGAAAUAAUCAAAUUUAACCAUACUUAUAAUAUUCCAGGCAAGGGUUCUCCUUGUGUGUGUUCACUUACAGUUCUAAUUCACCUUGUAAAUGCAUCAUCACUUAACAAUCUAAUAAACUUUAUUGAAAUGUUCUACAAAAUUAGAACACCCUAUAAAGAUGUGCAUGAAGAGAAAUAGUUAUGAUCAACCAUCUUGAUGAUGUACACUUUAAUCGUGUAAAGGAAGAUAAUUGGAAAGGCAUGUUUCAUUUUCUUAACUUUAUCACAUUGCUGGUAGAUAUUACUAGACAAAAGCUAAAGAAAAUAUUGGGAAGGACAAAAUAUGUUUUUGCUUACAUAUUUAAUAUAUGUAUUCCAAUUUUCUGUGUUUAACAUAAAUGAAGGAUUGAUUUUAAUUAUUUCAGUUUUUCUCAGUCUUGGAUAUGAAUGAGGGAUUGGUAUUUAUGCAUGUAGAUAAUCCAGGAGGUAUGUGUGUAUUACUGUCUGUUUUGAUAAGUGUAAUGCCAUAUAUUCCUAAUACAAUGUAUUCAUAAUUUGCUAAUGAUAUUUUAUUUCCGUUACUAGAUUAACUUUGCUCAACCAAAUGUUAUGAAACUUAUACACAAUACAUUUUACCACACCACUCAGAUCAAUUACAAAAUUUGAGAAGUGUCACUUUUACCAUUCUUCAGUGAUGUCCCUUUAUAACUUUUUAGGUUUUUGAUAAAAACUGUAGUGUAUACAACCUUUGAAGAAUGUAUCACACAACAGAUAUCAUAUUAAAUGACUGUUAAUAAAUUGAAUAGCAUUCAUUACAUGUUCAUUUAUUCAACACUGUUUUAGUUGCAUUAGUUUAAACAAGAAUAAGAAGUUCUGGGUGACUACAUGUUAUAAUUUGAUUACAGAUACUGGUCAUGGUACACUGUACACUUCAUCAGGGAAGGGAAUGUUAUAUUCAGAAUCAUUACAGAAACAUUUAUACCCUAACUAUGGAGAUUCUACUGAUUUUUUCCGAGUUCAGUCAAUGAGAGGAGUUUAUCUUGCCAGUCAGAUGAGAGAUGAUAAUAGUAUUCAUACAGUUAUAUCAUACAAUCUAGGAGGAACAUGGCACCCAGUUCCCAAACCUGAAGGGUCUACAUGUAAAGAUCUAAAAAGGUAGUUAUCUUCAUUCUAUCUAGGGAAUAGGGGGCCCAGGUCCCAAUAUCUUGUUCUACUGUAAAGACCUAAGAAUAUAGUUAUAUAUCAUUCUAUCUAGGAAGAAUAGGGCCCCAAGGACCCAAAACUCCAGGCUCUACUUGUAAAGACUCUAAGAAGGUAUAGUUACAUAUCAUUGAAUAUAGGAGGAACAUCCCACCAAGCUCGAAGACCUCAAAUGUCCACACACCCUUUCUUGCCACUAAAUUUCAGUUAAUAAAACUGAUUCAGUGUUUGUUACUGUUAGAAACUUCAAAUGUCUAAUGAAACUCAGGACAAUAUAGGGUUUGUUUUAAUAACAAGAAAGGGAAAAAAGGAUGCUUAUGUUAAAACAAAGAACUGAAUUAUAACCAGGAAUUAAAAAAACAGAUUUUAUUUUAUUUUUUCUAAUCAAGGAACUAAAUUGUAACCAGGAAUUAAAAUAGAAUGUAUCUUUAAAAUCGAGGAACUGAAUUAACAACCAGGAACUAAAAUAGAAUGAACUUGUUAAAUCCAGGAACUGAAUUGUAACCAGGAACUGAAUUAUAAUGCAUCUUGUAAAAUCCAGGAACUGAAUGGUAACCAGGAACUGAAUUAUAAUGCAUCUUUUUAAAUCCAGAAACUGAAUUAUAUAACCAGAAACUAAAAUUAUAAGGCAUCUUUUUAAAUCCAGGAACUGAAUUAUAUAACCAGAAACUAAAAUUAUAAUGCAUCUUUUUAAAUCCAGGAACUGAAUUAUAUAACCAGAAACUAAAAUUAUAAUGCAUCUAGUAAAAUUCACGAACUGAAUUGUAACCAGGAAUUAAAAAUGAGAAUGCUUAUUACAUUAUCCAGGAACUGAAUUACAACGUAACCAGGAAUUAAAAAAAUAUCUGAAUAAACAAAUGAAAUAAAAACCAAGAUCUUUAAAAAGACUUUAAGAGGAUAACUAAUAGAAAUAUAUGGAUAUGUCUUUAAGGUUUUAUUUUCACAAUUAUAAUGAAUUACUUAAAACUUAUUUGAUUAAUCAACAACUGAAUUAAAAAAAAAAAUAGAAUGAAGAACUUUUGAUGAACAAAUUGUACACAUGAAUUUCGUAACAACAUAUAAAAAUAGAAGAAAAUCUAAUGCAAUAUGAUAGAUAUAGGAAGAUGUGGUGUGAGAGCCAAUGAGACAACUCUCCAUCCAAAUAACAAUUUAAAAAUUAAACCAUUAUAGGUAAAAGUACGGCCUCAACACGGAGCCUUGGCUCACACCAACAAGCUAUAAAGGGCCCCAAAAUUACUAGUGUAAAACCAUUCAAACGGGCAAUAUGAUGUAUACUUAUGAUUUGAUUAUGUCAGUCGUGAGUUCUAGGUUGACGGUCCAAAUCUUUUGCAACAACAUUGUACACUUAUCUAACGACAAUACCAGUGUUUCCCAUGAGAGUGGUUUGCUACAACUUUGUGCAGUCUCAAUCAAUGCUUUCAGGAUUUAUUUAUUGUUUUAAUUCUUCAAAUUAACGGCAGUGGUCUCGUUAGCUCAAAAUAGAAGGGCGCCGCGCCCUGGGUGCCAUAAGCCACGCCCUGUGUGCGCUCAACCGCGCCCUUUUGCCCUGACACCGUUUUCCGGGAAAAAAACUUGUGCGAUUUUGGUAAAAUUGCCUUUUGUUUCAUCGAUUUCUUAUCAGAAGUUAAAUUACAUAUAUGACACCUGGUGAUUGCCCUCCAGGUUAAUCAUGUCAUUACAAUCAAUUAUUGUGGAUAAGACUUCAAAUGUGUUAAUUACUAGGUAAUUUAAUUAAGACAAUGUACCUUUUUGUCAUAAAUUUGAUGAAUGUGUCUGCAUUUUCGAUCUGCAAGUCACAAUGGAAGAGUGUAUGAAUGAAGACUUUCAUGAAUUAAGAAUUGAAUUGAAGUAAUCAAAAUAAAAAUAUGCCUUCACAGAAAUGACGCCCAUCUCAACUUGUGAGCAACAAGCAGACGUAAACAUGUUGGAAAUUAGUUUUGGAGUUACUUCCCCUGAAAAAGUUUAUUACAAAUUUGUGCUCCUAAAAUAUUAUCUAGGACUAAAAAUAGGAAAAAAUAACCAAUUGAAUACAAAAUUAUAUAAGAAUGUUACCUUAAGGAUAUUAACUGUCUUUGACCAUACAAAAAAAAUAUAUUGCAAUUUAUUUUUGAUAAUUAUACUUUUGGCAAUUCAUGUUUUAUACAUUCUCAAGAAAGAAAUAUAACUUAAAUAUGUGUUUGAUUGAUGUAAAGCUAUCAACUUACCAAAAUGGUAUCGCUACUGUAGUUAAAGUCAUAAGAAACGAGUGACCUGUGAAAAAUAAAUGUUCUUCCAAUUCUUGAACCAAUGCAUACAAACAUCAUAAACUAGUCUUCUGUGGCUCGAUUUUUCAUUUUUUUCGUGUAAAUUUCGUAUAAUCGUCAAAUUUUUUUCAAUCUGUCAGUGUUGUUGUGAAAAUAUGGCAGGUAAUUAAAGUUUGUCUUUUGAAGACGAAGUUUAACGAUUGUCACCUGUUAGUCAACAAUUGACGAAAAAUAAACAAAAAAGCAUGGAAAUUGAGCACGUGUUUAACAUGUAAAUUCAGAUAAUAGUUUAUUUUAAGAUAUCCAUGUGUAUUGUGAUCACCGGAUUUUUACGAGAUGGGUCACUUUGCAUACGGAAGGAAGCAAUUCAAAUAAAGUAAACUUCUUCUAAAUAUGAAUAAAUUAAAGAAUUUUCUUCAGAAAAAAGUAUAUGUACAUAAGUUAUAUAAUGAAAACUAUCCAUUGAGUUAUAAAAAAACAUAUAUAUGCAUUAUUUUUUUUUUAUUUGAGGUUUCUUAUGACUUUAAACUUUCAUCACAAAUCAUGAAGCUAAAACUAAAUAAUAUAUUCCUAAACACAAACAAUGAAAAAAGUUUUGAGGCCAAGCUCUAGAUGGAUUAUUAUACCCCACGCAACGAAGUUGCGGAGGGUAUAAUGUUUUUGACCCGUCCGUCCGUCUGUCAGUCCGUCCGUCAGUCCGUCCGUCCCUCCGUCAGUCCUGUUUCUUGUCAUCGCAACUCCUCUCCUCUUAUUUCCAGGAGUUACGCCCCUUUUAACUUAUUUACUUUAACGUACUACUGCAACAGUUUGUCAUCGCAACUCCUCUCAAACACACAACAGAAUUUCAACGAAACCUUUUCAGUUAAUAAGGACUACUAUGUGUUGUGCAUAUCGACGGAAAUUGCGAUUCAAUUUUUUUUCUAGGAGUUAUGCCCCUUUGAACUUAUUUACUUUAGUGUACUACUGCAACAGUUUGUCAUCGCAACUCCUCUCAAACCACACAACAGAAUUUCACGAGACCUUUUCAGAUAAUGAGGACAUACUAUGUAGUUGUGCAUAUCGAUGGGAAAUUAUGAUCAUAUUUUUUUUCUAGAAGUUACGCCCCUUUGACUUAUUUACUUUAAUGUACUACUGCAACAGUUUGUCAUCGCAACUCCUCUCAAACUACUCAACAGAAUUUCAGGAAACUUUUUUAGUUAAUAAGGACAUACUAUGUAGUUGUGCAUAUCGACGGGAAAUUGCGAUUCAAUUUUUUUUCUAGGAGUUACGCCCUUUGAACUUAUUUACUUUAAUGUACUACUGCAACAGUUUGUCAUCGCAACUCCUCUGAAACUACUCAACAGAAUUUCAUGAAACCUUUUCAGAUAAUAAGGACAUACUAUGUAGAUGUGCAUAUCGACAGGAAAUUACGAUUCAAUUUUUUUUCUAGGAGUUACACCUUACGCCCCUUUGAACUUAUUUACUUUGAUAUAAUACUGCAACAGUUUGUCAUCGCAACUCCUCUGAAACUACUCAACAGAAUUUCAUGAAACCUUUUCAGAUAAUAAGGACAUACUAUGUAGAUGUGCAUAUCGACAGGAAAUUACGAUUCAAUUUUUUUUCUAGGAGUUACACCUGUUUCAACUUAUUUGCUUUAAGGUACUUCUUCCACAGUUUGUCACCUCAACUCCUCUCAAACCACACAACAGAAUUUCAUGAAACUUUGUAGAUAAAGGACAUACUACGUAGAUGUGCAUUUCGACAACAAAUUUUGAUUCAUAUUUUUUUCUAGGAGUUACGCCCCUUUGAACUUAUUUGCUUCAAUGUACUUCUGCAACAGUUUGUCAUCUCAACUCCUCUGAAACCACACAACAGAAUUUCAUGAAAUUUUGUAAAUAAUAAGGACAUACUAUGCAUGUAGAUGUGGAUAUUGACAGGAAAUUAUUAUUCAAUAUUUUUUCUUAUACAAUUUUUUUCCUUACACUUAUUUAAUUUCUCCAAUGACAAUGUGGGGACGUGGGGUAUGUGAGCGUGCUCACUAAGGUUCUUUAAUUUGAAAUACAACUACUCUGUUAUGUACAUGUAUGGUAAACUAUGAGAUGUUUAGUUCAUGUUCUUUUUUUUUGGAAGGAGAGGGAGUGGGGGAGAAUAGUAAGUUUAUUUUGCCUUUUUUGGUUAAUAGUAUGAAUGUGUAUUGCCAUGUUGUAUGAACAUGAAGUAUGAAUGACUUUUCUUAGGCAAAUUUUGUAGAAUAAAUAAUCAAAACAACAACUUAUGCAUCUUUAUUAACAACACUUAUACUACUUUUAUUAAAUAAUCCAACGUUUUCAAUACAGACUUGUUCUGAAUGCUGUAUUACAUACAUCAAAUGUGAAUAUAGGGCAAUAUUCAAUAGGACUGGCAAUGAUGUGAAUAUAGGGCCAAUAUUUCCAAUACGGACUGGCAAUGAAUCCUGAAUUACAUGCAUAAUUACACCUAAUAUAAGAAUGCCAGAAUUUGAUUGGUUCAACCGUUGGUAGCCACUGUAUUUUUCGCAUAUUCUAACAUUUUUUCCUCAUUUCAAACCAAAUUGCCUGUUUUUCAACACUGCCGGUGAAUAUGCCUCAAAUACAUGUACCAUGGUAUUUGCCAUUUUGGAUAUUCCCUUUUUACCCUCCCGGCCAUAUUUCCGCCAAUUUGUUUCGGAUAUGACGUUACAUAAAAAAGAGAGCUAACACUUAUUAGUACAUGCAUAAUUCCUACGGUUCUAUGAUAAUAUCCACUUAUUUAUCGUCAAAAUUAUGCAUAAACAUGUUUAUGAAUUACACCUUACAAGUAAAAGAAAAAAAUCAACUUCACCUGUACAGAGAAUUUUAGUCCUUAACUAUUCGGUGUAAUUAAACAGAUAUAUCAUGUUGUGGAGUGGUAUUUGCGAAAAAUACGAGUCUUGGGUCCGACUUCCAUCGCCUUGUUGGCUUGGGAAACUUCACAGCCCCUUGACUGGUAUUUUUCGCAAAUACCACUCCAUAACAUGAUUUAUGAUCUGUUCACAAUGUAUGUUUACAGGGCCAAUGAUUUUUUAAAUACUGACUUGCUUUGAAUCCAGCUUACAGAGUUACAUGUACAAAAUGUUUGUCAUUGAUAUGUGUCAUAAUGUGAUCAGCGGUCAAUAUUUCAAAAGACAAAUUUGUAUGAACUGUCAAAUUUGUAAGAUUUAUAUUUUUUCAAUAAGAAUAAAUAUAGGACCUACCGUAAAGAGGAUACAGAAAUCAUUUUAUAUCUGAACUCGUCACUGCUUUUCGCUUUUACGUCCAUCAUCAUGCAUGGAUUUCUUGUCAACAUUGUCAGAUGAAAUUUCUGAUUCCUCGUCCAAGUACUUAAUAAAAUGCUAUAACAAUUCAUUUUAUGUAGUAAAUAUAAAGUAACUGGGAAGAAUAAAUCAGACAGUUUAACUAUUCUUACUCUGUCUUGGAUCGUCUGCGUUUUGAAUGGAAAUGCAACAGUGUCAAUAGUAGAAAGUCGUACUCGAAAAGGCUGUGAAUUUUUUCCGUUUCAAGACUGCAAGACGUUAAAAAAGUUAAGUUAACAUUGCACAUCAUUUAACCUUUUUUUUAUGAUUACACAAAUAUACCCCCAAAGUUAAGUAAUGGCUUUGGAAAAUUGAAACCGGAAGUAAACGUCCUGUAUUAGCCCAUGGGCCAAUACAGCUUUUAUCUGUAUUGGCCCUGUUCGAAAAGCAAUAUGAGCUCUUGAUUUAUAUCGACAGUGGAACGUUAUCAGUAUUGCACAUGCCGAUUUAUCCGUAUUAGGGCUGUUUUAAUCGUAUUAUUUAAUAAAGUAAAAAUAUAUGUGAACUCAUGAUAUACACAGGGAUGUAUACAAAAGAAAUGAGCAGUGCCUUCUCCUAUCAUAAAAAGUGCCCUGCCCUCCACUGGCACCCUGCCCCUUUUGAAUUCUAGCUGGAGCACUGAACGGUAUAAUUAAAAAUACAACUUAAAUAACGGUAAACAGUUACAGGAAGUUAUAAAACCUCCCCCAAUUGACAUUACCAAAAAAAGUGCAAGCCCUGUUUAUAUAUCAUUAGAUAUUUGUAAAAUCUUAACAACAAUUUUAUGAAUUGUAAUUGGAAGCAUGUUUUUCUUGAAACAAAAUUCUCCCCUUCAUAUAAAGGGUUAAUAAAUAAUAUAUGUGUAAUUUUAAGUCCUUUACUAUUAGACUGUCAGUGGGUUUGUUCUUCUAAAACCUUGACAGUUUAACUGUCUGUGUUUAAUCAUCUAAGACCUUGACAAUCUGACUCUCAUUGUGUUUAACCAUCAGUGAAGAUGACUGUAAACAGUGAUAUAAUACUGAAAAAUCAGGCUUUAACAAAAUAAAUCAAGUUAAAUCAAAUUGUCAUGGUCUUAGAUGAUAAAUGACCUUCAUACUCAAUAACAGUGAUAACAAACAUUGGAUUUUAAUUUGGAUGGAUUCUGUGUAUAUAUCAGAAAAUCAUUGCAUUAAAACUGAUUUAUUUAAAUGGAAAUAGGUUUUAUUGAAUGAGUAAGUAAUAAUUUAUAUUGUUCCUCUAUUGUAGGAAUGUGCCUUGCAGAUUCAUGGGACAUACAGUAGAAGCAGAGGGAUUAUAUCAGAAUUACCUCUUAGUGUCCCAAGUGCUACAGGUGUCAUUCUAGCUCAUGGUAGGUAUUAUUUAUAAUGAAUUCAUCAAAAAGCAAAAAUCACUAUAAGAUAGAGCUGAUAAACAUUAAUUAUUUAUUAGUUGUAUUUUUUUCUAAUCUACCUUCCAGUAACUGCUAUUACUUUUAAAUUAAUAUUGUGUGUCUUUUGCCUCUUUAUUGUUUUGUUUGUUGAUUUUCAUGUUUCACAGUCAUCUGAUUUUCCACGUGAUAUUUACAGUUUAUUCAAAUUUUCUGUGACACCUCUGACCAAGGUGAGGCGAGGGUACUCUUUCCUGCAGUAAUUAUAUUUUAUCAAAUAUGCAUUUAAGAGGACAACCGCAUAACUGCAAAAAAAUUAUGCAUGAAUGGUCUUCUUAAAAUAGAUAUGUUUAGUAUUGGAAGGAACAACUACAAACAAUGUUUUUUGUGUUAUGCAGGUCAUGUAGCUGAUGCUUUACAGACGACCAAACCAGAUGUGUAUAUAACUACUGACGGUAGAUACAAUUGGAGAAAGGUCUGUCACACGCAUAGAUAUAAUAAGCAAAACUUACUUAAAGUAAAUGAAACUUUGAUUCAAUGGGUACAAACAAACCAAAGGCCCUUUAUAGCUUGCUGUUCUAUGUGAAUCAAGGCUUUGAGUUGAAGGCCGUACUUUGACCCAUAAUGGUUUAUUUUUUACUAAGUGUGACUUGGAUGGAUUGAUGUCUCAUUGGCACUCAUACCACAUCUUUGUUUAUCUAUAUAAAACCAUAAUACUUGGUAGGGGGAUUUGUAACGAAAAUAUUUGUGAGGGCAUUUGAUAAUAUAUGAGAUAUAUUGAAAUAGAAUGUAGUGGUAUGAUUGCCAAUGAAGCAAUUAUCCACCAGACACCAAAUGAUGAAGAAGGUAGGCAACUAUAGGUCACUGUACAGCCUUUCAAGAAUGAGCAAACCCAAAACUGCAAAGCAUGUAUUAUAAAUAUGUAAAUCAAUAAAAAAAAAAAAAAUAUGAUAUACAUUAACAAAUGAAAACCACUAAAGUACAUAUUCCUGACUUCAGACAGUCAUAUACAAAAUGUGUGGUUUAGACACGCAAAAGGGUCUUAUUUGCUGUUUUCAUUUUAUAAUUUAGUUUAUAAGCCAUUGCAAAUACCUGGCAGGGCUAAUUAAAAUGAGAAUGUGGAAAUAAUUUGUCAAUUUUACUAAAUAUUAUAUAUCUUGUAAAAACAGUUCACUGAAGGUUAUUAUCGUGUAAUUGUUCAUUGAUGAAAGCUUUUAAUAUGCUAAUUAUCCUUUAAUAUGUACCAAUGUAACAGGUAGAGUAUUCAUAUUGAUAAUAAUAAAGGGGCCUCAGUGAUCGAGUGGUCUAAGUAAGUACUUCUGUAAUCACUAGCCAGUCAACACAGAGGUUGUGAGUUGAAACCCUACUCGUGCGAGUGCACUCGACUCCAAUCUUAAUUCUUAAUUGACUAGGAUUGUCAGUUUUCCAAUCGAAGUCAGUGGUUUUCUCCAGGCACUUUGGAUUCCUCCACCUAUAAAAACUGCACAUUACGAAAUAGUCCAAACGUGGUGCUAUAAAAUGGUAUUAAAAACACAAAUCAGCAGUAUUCUUUAUGAUUCUCUUUGAGGCUUUAGAUGGUCCACAUCAUUAUCAUAUAGCAGACAGUGGUAGUUUACUAGUGGCAGUCCCAGCUGAUACAACUCAACCUAAACUUAUCAAAUUUCUACUGACGAGGGAAGGUGUUGGCAUACAUACGAUUUCAUUGACAAGGAGAGUAAUGAGACUAUCAUGUUUACUGGACUGUUAACAGAGCCUGGGUCCAAGGCCUUGACUGUCAGUAUAUGGGGUUAUAAACCAGACACAAGAAAGUGGACCACAUUUAUCAUUGAUUUCCAAAAAAUAUUCAAAAAGAAGUGUGGUAUGUAUCAUGAAUUUCUGAUGCCCAAAAUUAAGUUCUUUGUGACUUUUCUCAUUUCUAUUGGUGUAAAGUUUUCUUGGUCUCUAACCCCUAGGUGUUUUUUUUUAAAUGAUGUUUAGACGUACUUGAAAUCUUUAUUUCCUCCCAAGAUUAGUAAACAUGGUAAAUGAUUAAAUUAUAAAGAUAAGUUUCUAUACUAAUGGUAAGGUCAUUUUAAAAAAGGGAAAUGAGAUAAAAUGUUCUUGUGUCUUUUCUUGCUUAUUGAUUCACCAUACCCAUCAUAUAAAACCUAAAUUUACCAGAUAUGAUGUCAUUGUGGUUGUUAUCAACCCCUAAGUGUCCUUUAGUUUUUGUGUUGUUUGGUAGGAAUGUUUCAUUGAAAGGAGUAGGUCCAGUAAGACCCCUUUUUGGCCCCAAAAUAAAGCAGUUUUACAAAAUUGUUAAAAUGUAAACUUUUAGUUAUUUAUUGGAUAGUAGAAUUGUUCUGCUACAUAAAUAUAGGCUGUUUUUGACGUUUCAAUGCACAUAUAUUGGGUACUAGCACCAUUAAGUCAUGCUAAAUUACUGAAAUAUUCAAAAUUCCAGCAUUUUAGUUUAAUUUCAGACGGUUUCCGUGUAAAACGAAAGUUCAUCCAAAAUAUUGAAAUCUUUCAUAUAUAUUAUUUGAAUCAAAUGAAAUGGACACUACUCAUCAUUAAAAACGCUCCGAUUCAAGCUCAAAUACGAAAAAUCUACCAAAUAUGCGAAAAAAUGUCACUUUUCAGAUGGUUUUUGUCAAAAAUGAAAUUGGCCGCAUUUGUGUUCAUCCUCAAUCUUUAUAUAUGUUAUGUAUUAUUAUCAAAUACAACUUCCAUUUCAAUAUUUUGGAUGAACACGAAUGGGGCCACUUUCGUUUUACCUUUAACCAUGUAUCUUCUUUUAUCCUUACCGGACCUACUCCUUUAACCAUGUAUCUUCUUUUAUGCAUAUAUUUGGGGUUUUCAUUUGACUAUACAAUAAAGGUAAAAAAAACACUAAACUCAGGCAUGGUCAUAAAUAACAUACAAAAAAGUAGUACAUAUUUUAAACAAAAUAGUUUGAUACAUUUCUGCAACUUUGUCAAUAAGUAAAAUAUUUAGGUUGUUUAUGUAUUAAAUGAAAGUUUAAGUGCCGCAUGUGGAGCAGGAUCUGCUUACCCUUCCGGAGCACCUGAGAUCACCCCUAGUUUUUGGUGGGGUUCGUGUUGUUUAUUCUUUAGUUUUCUAUGUAGUGUCAUGUGUACUAUUGUUUUUCUGUUUGUCUUUUUUCAUUUUUAGCCAUGGCGUUGUCAGUUUGUUUUAGAUUUACGAGUUUGACUGUCCCUUUGGUGUCUUUCGUCCCUCUUUUAAGGACUUUAGAUCCCUGCAGAAGCCUUGUUUUCCUUUUGAAUUAUAAAAAAAAAUACAGGAAAUUUAAAUAGAAGGGCAUAUUUUUUGUAUGUACUUCCAAACUUCCAGGAUGGUGGGCUCUAAAAUGCAAGUAAGGGUAUGUUGAAUUUUUAUGCCCCAAAUUAGAUAGUAGAGGGGCAUUAUGUUUUCUGGUCUGUCCAUCCGUUCGUCCGUCUGUCUGUCUGUCCGUUGUCCGUCUGUCCCACUCCAGGUUAAAGUUUUUGGUCAAGGUAGUUUUUGAUGAAUGGACUUCAAACUUAGUACACAUGUUCCCUGUGAUAUGAUCUUUCUAAUUUUAAUGCCAAAUUAGAGUUUUUACCCCAAUUUCACGGUCCACUGCACAUGGAAAAUGAUAGUGCGAGUGGGGAAUUCGCGUACUGAGGACACAUUCUUGUUCUGCAUAAGUCUGGACAAGGUAUACUGUAGUUUCGACUUUAGAUGACUGUCUCUUUAUUUAAAUGAAAUAGCUAAGUAUGCUCAUAUUUGGCAAGAUAAUGUAUUAUUGUUCAUCCAGCUCCAGCACAGUUGAUGUUUUUUGUAUAACUUUCAACAUUACACUAUAGUUGAAAUAAUUUUAUUUCAACAGAUACUGCAACAGAUUAUGACACAUGGGUACCCCAUGAAACAAGUAAUGAAAAAGGAAAUAUACAAGGAUGUCUGCUGGGAAAUAAAGAAACGUUUAAAAAAGUAAAAAAAGACUCAUGGUAUGUUAAAAGUGUUGAGUGAAUUGAGAUUUUUUAUACAAUAGGAGUUUUUCUCCUGUUUUGUAGCAAGUACAAAUAAAUUUCAUAACUUAGUGGUAUCCUUAACUUAACCCGACAAUUGAAACUUUAUCAUUGUUUCUAAUAUCUCAAAGAAUUCAAUAUACAUUUAGUUGAAACACUGACAGCAAACAGGACCCCAAAAUGAACUGGUUAGGAAACAGAAAUAUUCAUAUCGUAUUCGGCCGUGUAUAGUACGCAUUUAUACAUAGUCCGCACCCCCUCUUCAUCCCCUUAAAAUCGAGAAAAAAAAGUUUUGUAAAAAAGUUUUUUUUUUUUGUUUUUUUUUUUAUAAAAGUGAAGUUCACUGUAAAAAUCCAAAUGUAUUUAAUAGAAAAAAAAAUGUGUUUUUUUUUUUUUUUUUAAAUAAUAAAAUGGUAGAGCUUUUCAUCAGGUAAUUCAUAUUUGAUAAUUUUAUAAAAGUAGUUAUCAUCAAAAGAUCUCUUUUAAAAUCAACAUUUGUCUAAGUUUGUCCAAGCUGAUAUAUAAUAUAACAGAAAUAAUUUGAAUAUUAUGGAACAAAAGAAAAAAGAGAUCAAACAUUUAUCUAAACUAAUUAGCAGUAAUCAAAAUUUUAAAACUAUUUAAUCUUAUAUAAUCUUUUCAUUGAUCAUGUUGUUUUUUUGCCUGGGAUUAUAAUAUCUAACACCUGUCAAAACUUGACAUCAUAAUUUAAUUGCUACACACCCAUACUUAAUCCUUAAUUACCCGUCUUAAUUACCUAUGCAGGAUGUCACACUUUCACUUUGAAUAAUCAAUUUUGAAGAGAAAAGUUAAAAAAGAAUAAGAUUUGAAUGAAAUAAAUAUCAUAAACGUCUCCAAUAUUCAUAAUUCAGGGAAAAAAAAAGAAAAAAAAAAGAUUUUUUUUUUUUAUGAAUUUCGAAAACCGUCUUUAGUUGUGUAUAGUCCACAUCCCUUGUACAAACUACAUAUUUAAGGAAAAAAAGUGCGGACUCUACAUGCCCAAAUACGGUUUAACGCUUUAUUGAAAUGAUUCAUUAUGUUCAAGUUGAAUAGUUAAUCAAUACAAAACUGUUAAAUAUGUCUGAAUUUUUGUCCUUUUGAAGGUGCUAUAAUGGUGCAGAUCACCCAUUGGAACAUACAGGAGAAGCAUGUACAUGUGUCAGGGAUGAUUAUGAAUGGUAAGAUAUGUAUAAUGGCUAGUGUUGUGAUAUAUUGAGUUAAUUGUCAUAAUAGAGAUGUCAGAGACAUAUAAUGCCAAAUUUUUAAAACUGCUAUAUUAAAUACAGAUAUAAUAUUAGACUGUAUAAUUAUAUUUUUAUCAAUCACCUCUUUAAAGAUUUUCUCCACUACAGCAUAUUUUCAAUCAACGCUUGAAAGUUUUUAUUUUUUUCCCGUUUUAAAUAAAGAUAUUAUGGACAAAAAAAGUAGAACAUCAUCCAAAAAUGAAAAUUAACAGAUGUCCCACAAAAAAGGAUGGUGUACUGACUUUUGAUGAAAUUUCUGUAAGUUCCUAAUCACUGGUAAUACUCAUUUCUGCACGUUAAAGACACUUGUAGAUUUUCAUAAGAGCAGUCCUAUGUGGCUACAAGGCAGCACUCUUAUCAGCAAAGUGGAAAAGGAUUAAUAUUAGUUGUAAUAAUUUUUUUCCCAAUCCACUAUACAUAAAAAUGAUUAAACUAAAAACAUAAUACAUGUGUUAUAUAAAUAUUUCAGUGAUUAUGGGUUUUACCGACCUGAUGGUAGGGAUGAUUGUGUAGAACAACCUAAUUUCAAUUUACCUAAGGUGGAUGUAUGUAAACAAGGUCACGAAGAACAAGUUAUAACACAGGGGUAGGUAUCAUUAUUUUAAAUCAAUUUAACUGGUCAUGAAGAACAAGUUAUAACACAGGGGUUGUAAUAAUUAUUUUAACUUAAUUUAACUGAAGUUGAUACACCUUAUCGCUAUUUGUCUGCCAUUACAAGACAUCACAAGUGGAAAGUGAUUGUUGUAUGAUGUCCAAAGUUCAAGCGGGACAGAUUAUCGGGUCAAGUGGAAAGAGCGAUAAGCUGAUUUAUGGAAGCAAGAGUCUCUCCCUCAUUGACAUAAAGGUACAUUUUAUCUGAAACUUAUAUCACAUAAGAAAUAAUAUUUAUUGUUUUUUAUAGCAAGUGAGAAUUUGUUAACGGCUCAAAUUUUUAAAUUUCAAUAUAAUAAUGACCAAUAUGUCCUAUUCCUCCUUAAACUUUAAACACACAUGUUUUUUGCCAUAGAUAGGGGCAUAUUUUCCAAAGUAAAAAGUUGUGAAGGAAGAAGACAGAUUACUCAAUACAUAAAAAAAGACUUUCCUGACUAUGGGUGCAAUCAACAGUAUUUUUCUAUGAUGUCAUGUUUUAAGGGACCAUGCAUAUGUGACCCUUACUGGUGGACUGAUUAAUAAAGAUACUUGUAUAAAACUAGAUAUCACUGGAAUCAGAAUGCUCUCUGGUUUAUAAUGAAAUAAAAAUAAUGUGUACUUUUAAUAUAUUAUAAAAAUUUCAUCCAAUGAACAUGGGGGGAAAAAAGGUAUAAUUUUAACAUAAAAAACUUGAAAUCAGGUCAAGUGCACACCCAUGUCAGACAUGAUCCAUGCACAUUUUGCAUAAUCAAAACUGUAUGAAUAUUGUAGGUUUUUACCUGGCCUUUCAAAAAAAUCUUGUUUCAGGGUUCGAUUUCCUGCUCCGAAAAGAGCUACAGUGGCUGCAAAUAAGUUUUCAAUUUUCACUGCUAAAAAAACAGACUGUUUACAGUGUUGUCUCCCCUAGAAACAUGUUUAUUUAAUAUAAUUUUUAAAAUUAUUUCAAUCAUUCAACCUGUUUUGAUUUAAAGCUAAUUAACUAAUUUUUACAAACAAAUACAAAAAACAUGAUACUUUUUCACCAAGUAAGUAAAUAAACAGGGGUUUUCCUCCAUAGUUAUUUUUAGACGGGGAAUAAUCCCUAGUUUUUAGUACGAAACUGUUUAUAGCACCCUAUGAGACAGGUAGCAUUGAUAUAUUGUUUACAGAAUUGUAAUACAAUGUAUUUUGUUUUUUCACAGAUAUAGAAAAAUACCAAAUGAUAAAUGUGUUGGAGGGUUUUCGCCAAGUGGAAAAAUGUUAAAUUUAGGUGAACAGUGUGCAUCAAAACAUGAGGGUCAGAUAGAUGUGGAGGAAGUACCACAAGAAACAAAGGUAGGGAUAUUUUAUCACUGUAUAUAUCAAGAUCUAUCAAGGAGUUGGUUUGUCAGUCUUUAUUUUUUCUUGGUUUUGGACAUUUUUGUUGUUGUAAUAUUUUAAACAGGAAAAUAACUCUUUUGCAAAUAUUUGGAAGAGAACAGUUAAGUGUAUCACUACUGCUAAAACCUGAUAAUGCAAUGCAGACAAUAAACAGACACUUUAAGCAUAAUGCAACAAAAAAACCAGUUAGAUAUUUAUAGAAUUAAUGAUCCAAUACAUUAUUAACAAGUGACCAAACAACACAUUGAUUCUUUAUCAAAAUAAAUGCCCCAAAAAAUGCUCUUUACUACAAGACUUUUAUUCCUACCAAGUAUUAUAGAUGACAACUCAUGUUGCUGUCAAAUAUGACUGCUAUAUUCCAUUUAGGGAUUUUAUCACUUUUUGAAAAAAUAUAAGAUUGAACAUGUGUAACAUAUAUGAGUUGAGUCAAACAGGCUUCGUCGAAACUCUUUUGUCUUUCUUUUGUGGGUUUUGUGAGUAAAUAGGAUAUUUAUAAAAUUUAUUAUAGCCCCGCUUUAAAAAAGUCGAGGGCAACGGUUUUAUCUCUGUCUGUCUGUCUGUCAGUCCAUUAGUAGGUCCAACCAUCCAUCAAUCUGUGCAUCCAAUGAAUAUUUUCGUCACAUUUUUCGCAGGAACUACACUACAAGGAUUUCUGAAAUUUGGUUUCAGGGUAUAUAUAAUUUAACUAUACCGUAGGGGUAUCAUCAGUUAACAGUAGCUCACAGUUUCACUUGUUUAACACAAAUAUUAUUUUUUUUCUUUCAGAAAACUAACAAUGCCAGUGCUAUAGUAGCUGUGUUUGUGAUUGUUGCUUUAAUAGUAACAAUUAUGGUUGGAUUUUUUGUUUAUAAAUAUAUCAUAUUACGUAAACAGUAAGUAUAAUGUGUAGAUUAUCUAGCAAACAAAACAUAUGGGUUUUAUGGAACCCCCUGUAAAUACUUUAAAUGAAAAAAAUGUAUUUCUAAGAUGAUUAUUUGUUUAUCUGUCAGUAUUUUGUGAUAUUAGUUUUACUUAAAAAUGUAAGCGAUCAAAGUUGAUCAGCAUCUUCCAGUCUGUAAAUACUUUUAUAGAAAACAUUCACUUGAUCUACUCAAAUGUGAGGUUUAUUAACUAUUUACCAAAUGUUUGGAAUUUAUAUAUGUCAUUCAGGUCACCUCAAUCAAGAAAGCACUAAUCAAUAUACAACUUACAUAAAUCCUUAAAAUCAUCAAGCAAACUUGACAUUUGAUGAAUAAAUAGUACCUAUUCAACCCUAACCAAUGUAUUAUAUUAUUAAUAUUUGUUUGAUAAUAACAUGUAAAAAUAAUUCUACUGUGAAGCAAAUAACAUUUUCUUAAGCAGUUCAUGUAUAUGAUCAUUUGUAAAGGAUAAUUUUCUAAUAAAUUCGUUUUAUUUAAUGGAGAAAUUUCACUGCUUAAAAAAUAACCUGCUAUUUCUUUUCAGUAAUGUGACCUAUAGAUAUUCAUUAGUAAACCAAAAUGAUGGUGUUAGUUAUGAUGAUGAAUUAGAAAAUGCAUUAACUAAAGCAGGAUUAUAUCAUGAUUCUUCAGAUGAUGAGGUAAAUAUAAAUAAGAAGAUUUGGUAUGAGUGCCAAUGUGACAACUCUUCAUACAACUUGCAAUGUAUAAAUAUAAUGGUUAAAGAAGGAACACAAGAUAUAUGGAAUUCUUGGAAAUACCUAUGGCAUUUUUUGCUGUUCUUCAUCUUGAAUACAUUUAACAAGUGACCGAAAUCAAAAUAAAUGUCCCCAAAAAUGCAAGAAAAACAACAAGACUUUAAAUUCCUACCAAGCAUUAUAGAUGACAACUCAUGUUGCUGUUUUUCAGUAAAUUAAGAAAAGAGGUUGUAAACAAUGGGUUCAAAAAGUUCAAAAAGUUAGGUACUGUUAUUUAUAGCAAUAUAAUGAAUUUGAGCUUUACUUCGAUUGAUUUGCAUGUUUCUGAAAUAAACAUCAUCAGAUAUGACAACAAAUUGGAAAGUACAAAACAGGACAACAGGAUGAAGGUGAAGUUCGUUUUUGUUUGAUAAUUUAAUUUAGAUCUAUGAAUUUGUAAUAAAUGUAUAAAGGGAUUAAUAUGAAAAAGACAUAAUGCAAAUAAUAUUAUGAUGCAAGUUUUGACUGUAAUUUGGAAAAUUUAAUUUGAAUUUCAUUAGGAAUUGAAUUCUCCUGCUGUAAAGAAACAGAAUGAUACUGUCAGUAAUGGUGGAUCACCAAAGGAACAGUGACCAUCAAGGUCAAAUCAGUUACAGAAUGACAUACAAUCAUACCAUGAGGAUUCUGAUGUGGUGAGUAAACACACAAAAUACACAAUAUACAAUCAUACCAUGAUGAUUCUGAUGUGGUGAGUAAACACACAAAAUACACAAUCAUACCAAGAUGAUUCUGAUGUGGUGAGUAAACACACAAAAUACACAAUAUACAAUCAUACCAUGAUGAUUCUGAUGUGGUGAGUAAACACACAAAAUACAAAAUAUACAAUCAUACCAUGAUGAUUCUGAUGUGUAGUGAGUAAACACACAAAAUACACAAUAUACAAUAUCAUACCAUGAUGAUUCUGAUGUAGUGUGAGUAAACACACAAAAUACACAAUAUACAAUCAUACCCAUGAUGAUUCUGAUGUGGUGAGUAAACACACAAAAUAUACACAUAUACAAUCAUACCAUGAUGAUUCUGAUGUAAGUGAGUAAACACACAAAAUACACAAUAUACAAUCAUAUGAUACCAUGAUGAUUCUGAUGUAGUGAGUAAACACACAAAAUACACAAUAUACAAUCAUACCAUGAUGAUUCUGAUGUGGUGAGUAAACACACAAAUACACAAUAUACAAUCAUACCAUGAUGAUUCUGAUGUGGUGAGUAAACACACAAUAUACACAAUAUACAAUCAUACCAUGAUGAUGAUUUCUGAUGUUGAUGUGAGUAAACACACAAAUAUAUACACAAUAUACAAUCAUACCAUGAUGAUUCUGAUGUGGUGAGUAAACACACAAAAUACACAAUAUACAAUCAUACCAUGAUGAUUCUGAUGUAGUGAGUAAACACACAAAAUACACAAUAUACAAUCAUACCAUGAUGAUUCUGAUGUGUGAGUAAACACACAAAAUACACAAUAUACAAUCAUACCAUGAUGAUUCUGAGUGGUGAGUAAACACACAAAAUACACAAUAUACAAUCAUACCAUGAUGAUUCUGAUGUGGUGAGUAAACACACAAAAUACACAAUAUACAAUCAUACCAUGAUGAUUCUGAUGUGGUGAGUAAACACACAAAAUACACAAUAUACAAUCAUACCAUGAUGAUUCUGAUGUGAUGAGUAAAACACAAAAACACACAAUCAUACCAUAUGCACAUAUAUAUACAAUCAUACCAUGAUGAUUCUGAUGUGUGAGUAAACACACAAAAUACACAAUAUACAAUCAUACACAUGAUGAUUCUGAUGUAGUGAGUAAACACACAAAAACAAUAUACACAAUAUACAAUCAUACCAUGAUGAUUCUGAUGUAGUGAGUAAACACACAAAAUACACAAUAUACAAUCAUACCAUGAUGAUUCUGAUGUAGUGAGUAAACACACAAAAUACACAAUAUACAAUCAUACCAUGAUGAUUCUGAUGUGGUGAGUAAACACACAAAAUACACAAUAUACAAUCAUACCAUGAUGAUUCUGAUGUAGUGAGUAAACACACAAAUACACAAUAUACAAUCAUACCAUGAUGAUUCUGAUGUGGUUGGUAAACACACAAAACACACAAUAUACAAUCAUACCAUGAUGAUUCUGAUGGUGAGUAAAACACACAAAAUACACAAUAUACAAUCAUACCAUGAUGAUUCUGAUGUGGUGAGUAAACACACAAAAUACACAAUAUACAAUCAUACCAUGAUGAUUCUGAUGUGUGAGUAAACACACAAAAUACACAAUAUACAAUCAUACCAUGAUGAUUCUGAUGUGGUGAGUAAACACACAAAAUACACAAUAUACAAUCAUACCAUGAUGAUUCUGAAUGUGGUGAGUAAACACACAAAAUACACAAUAUACAAUCAUACCAUGAUGAUUCUGAUGUGGUGAGUAAACACACAAAAUACAAUCAUACCAUGAUGAUUCUGAUGUGGUGAGUAAACACACAAAAUACACAAUAUACAAUCAUACCAUGAUGAUUCUGAUGUGGUGAGUAAACACACAAAAUACACAAUAUACAAUCAUCAUACCAUGAUGAUUCUGAUGUGGUGAGUAAACACACAAAAUACACAAUAUACAAUCAUACCAUGAUGAUUCUGAUGUGGUGAGUAAACACACAAAAUACACAAUAUACAAUCAUACCAUGAUGAUUCUGAUGUGGUGAGUAAACACACAAAAUACACAAUAUACAAUCAUACCAUGAUGAUUCUGAUGUGGUGAGUAAACACACAAAAUACACAAUAUACAAUCAUACCAUGAUGAUUCUGAUGUAGUGAGUAAACACACAAAAUACAAUCAUACCAUGAUGAUUCUGAUGUGGUGAGUAAACACACAAAAUACACAAUAUACAAUCAUACCAUGAUGAUUCUGAUGUGGUGAGUAAACACACAAAUACACAAUAUACAAUGAUCCUCAGAUGAUUCUGAUGUGGUGAGUAAAACACACAAAAUACACAAUAUACAAUCAUACUGAUGAUUCUGAUGUAGUGAGUAAACACACAAAAUACACAAUAUACAAUCAUACCAUGAUGAUUCUGAUGUAGUGAGUAAACACACAAAAUACACAAUAUACAAUCAUACCAUGAUGAUUCUGAUGUGGUGAGUAAACACACAAAAUACACAAUAUACAAUCAUACCAUGAUGAUUCUGAUGUGGUGAGUAAACACACAAAUACACAAUAUACAAUCAUACCAUGAUGAUUCUGAUGUAGUGAGUAAACACACAAAAUACACAAUAUACAAUCAUACCAUGAUGAUUCUGAUGUGGUGAGUAAACACACACAAAUACACAAUAUACAAUCAUACCAUGAUGAUUCUGAUGUGUGAGUAAACACACAAAAAAUACACAAUAUACAAUCAUACCAUGAUGAUUCUGAUGUAGUGAGUAAACACACAAAUACACAAUAUACAAUCAUACCAUGAUGAUUCUGAUGUAGUGAGUAAACACACAAAAUACACAAUAUACAAUCAUACCAUGAUGAUUCUGAUGUGGUGAGUAAACACACAAAAUACACAAUAUACAAUCAUACCAUGAUGAUUCUGAUGUGUGUGAGAUAAACACACAAAAUACACAAUAUACAAUCAUACCAUGAUGAUUCUGAUGAUGGAUGAGUAAACACACAAAAUACACAAUAUAUACAUCAUACCAUGAUGACUGAUUGGUGAGUAAACACACAAAAUACACAUAUACCAUGAUGAUAUCUGAUGUGGUGAGUAAACACACAAAAUACACAAUAUACAUGCAUGAGUAAACAUGAUGAUUCUGAUGUGGUGAGUAAACACACAAAAUACACAAUAUACAAUCAUACCAUGAUGAUUCUGAUGUGUGAGUGAGUAAACACACACAAAUACACAAUAUACAAUCAUACCAUGAUGAUUCUGAUGUAUGUGAGUAAACACACAAAAUACACAAUAUACAAUCAUACCAUGAUGAUUCUGAUGUGGUGAGUAAACACACACAAAAUACAACAUACCAUAUACAAUCAUACCAUGAUGAUGUCUGAUGUGUGAGUAAACACACAAAAUACACAAUAUACAAUCAUACACAUGAUGAUUCUGAUGUAGUGUGAGUAAACACACAAAAUACACAAUAUACAAUCAUACCAUGAUGAUUCUGAUGUGGUGAGUAAACACACAAAAUACACAAUAUACAAUCAUACCAUGAUGAUUCUGAUGUGGUGAGUAAAACACACAAAUACACAUAUACAAUCAUACCAUGAUGAUUCUGAUGUGGUGAGUAAACACACAAAAUACACAUAUAUACAAUAAACAUACCAUAUGAUGAUUCUGAUGUGGAUGAGUAAACACACAAANNNNNNNNNNNNNNNNNNNNNNNNNNNNNNNNNNNNNNNNNNNNNNNNNNNNNNNNNNNNNNNNNNNNNNNNNNNNNNNNNNNNNNNNNNNNNNNNNNNNNNNNNNNNNNNNNNNNNNNNNNNNNNNNNNNNNNNNNNNNNNNNNNNNNNNNNNNNNNNNNNNNNNNNNNNNNNNNNNNNNNNNNNNNNNNNNNNNNNNNNNNNNNNNNNNNNNNNNNNNNNNNNNNNNNNNNNNNNNNNNNNNNNNNNNNNNNNNNNNNNNNNNNNNNNNNNNNNNNNNNNNNNNNNNNNNNNNNNNNNNNNNNNNNNNNNNNNNNNNNNNNNNNNNNNNNNNNNNNNNNNNNNNNNNNNNNNNNNNNNNNNNNNNNNNNNNNNNNNNNNNNNNNNNNNNNNNNNNNNNNNNNNNNNNNNNNNNNNNNNNNNNNNNNNNNNNNNNNNNNNNNNNNNNNNNNNNNNNNNNNNNNNNNNNNNNNNNNNNNNNNNNNNNNNNNNNNNNNNNNNNNNNNNNNNNNNNNNNNNNNNNNNNNNNNNNNNNNNNNNNNNNNNNNNNNNNNNNNNNNNNNNNNNNNNNNNNNNNNNNNNNNNNNNNNNNNNNNNNNNNNNNNNNNNNNNNNNNNNNNNNNNNNNNNNNNNNNNNNNNNNNNNNNNNNNNNNNNNNNNNNNNNNNNNNNNNNNNNNNNNNNNNNNNNNNNNNNNNNNNNNNNNNNNNNNNNNNNNNNNNNNNNNNNNNNNNNNNNNNNNNNNNNNNNNNNNNNNNNNNNNNNNNNNNNNNNNNNNNNNNNNNNNNNNNNNNNNNNNNNNNNNNNNNNNNNNNNNNNNNNNNNNNNNNNNNNNNNNNNNNNNNNNNNNNNNNNNNNNNNNNNNNNNNNNNNNNNNNNNNNNNNNNNNNNNNNNNNNNNNNNNNNNNNNNNNNNNNNNNNNNNNNNNNNNNNNNNNNNNNNNNNNNNNNNNNNNNNNNNNNNNNNNNNNNNNNNNNNNNNNNNNNNNNNNNNNNNNNNNNCCGACUGUUUUUAUAAACUUUACAACUAUCUCUAAGCUCCAUACUAUAAUUCAAGUAAGAUGCAUAAAAUUCUAAAUUUUCAAGACCAUGAGCAUAGGAGGAUCCAGUGGGUGGAGCCCCCCCCCCUUUUCGUGGGAAAAAUUUGGUUGCUAUAUAGGGAAUCACUAAGCGUGACUGAAGCGUCAGCGGCCCCCUUAGGUCAAUCAGAGCCCCCCUUUUCACUAAAAGUUCUGGAUCCGCCACUCAUGAGAAACAGAUGUUAUUAAUUCAAAUAUACCAAUUUGCAUUUUUACCUAAUCUAACAAAGAGUUCGAUUUAUUUUGCUUCAUUUCAACAGGGUUUCAGUCUGGGUUACCGCAUAACUAAAGUGAAACCAAGGAUUUAAAAUAAUACCGAAAAUAUGACUGUCAGGGUCAUUGUACUUGAUAGUAAUAACCCAUAUUAUACAUGCAAACAUUAUUUUUAAAUAAUAGGUUUAAUCACUAAAAGGUCAUGUGAUGCUACUUGUAUAGGACGGGGUGUGUUCGAUGUGUUAAUCAAUCAAGAAACCCCCACCAGAUCAUAUCAUCAUGACCAACUUUGAAAUUGCGUAUUCAUGUCAAAUUUAGGUGUGCCACUGUAUGAAUGGUUUUAACCGAUUGAUAAUUCAUUUCUCAACAUUACUUACUCAAAUUAAAAAUACACACGAAAUGAAGCUACAUAGUAUCGAGCCCAUACCCUGUAAAUUGUUUAUUUAAGAUAUUUUUUAUAAUUUGGAUGAAUGUUGUACAUUGUUAUAGAUCUAAUAUGUGAAUUUUAGUCGAAUCUGUGAACACGAAUUUGACAUUUAGUGCCCUUAAGGCUUUAAUAAAGAAUUUUAUUAUUAAUUUAUAAUACGCUGAUAUUUUGAAAUGAAGCACACCCUCAUAAAGAGAGAUAACUCUAAACAUCCAAACCUCUCCAAUGAAGAGAUUUAAAAGUUUAUAUGUUUUCAGAAUUUCUAGAACGAAUAAGAAGCUUUAAACAGUUUUAAACACAUCAUCAGUAUACAAAAAAGGUAAUUCAUGUUUUUUUUCUUAAAGUUAACAUUGACUUUAUCCAUUAAAAAGGAUUUAUUUAAAAAACAAUAAUGUGAUCACUGAAACUAACACUUAAAAUUUAAUAUGCAGUCGUAGAUUCAGAAAAAGCCAUAUUUUAUAAUUUGCCAUAUGCAUUGUUGAGUACAACAGAGGUUGAGUGUCACAUAAAAAAAACCCUAAACAAACAGGCUACCGUGGAUUCAUUUAUUUUUGUUUAAUUUUUGAGCAUUGAAUAAAAAUUGGCUUUUUCGUGGAUAUUUGAUUUCAUUGUUUUGACAGUCGAUAUAUAAAACUGUAUGAAAUUUGUUAUUUGUUGAACAUUUCAUGGUUCAUCUGUUACAAAGAAUUCCACGUAAAUACACCUUAUCGCUAAUCCCGACUGAUGCCAGAAUCGUUCCCGCUUGAACUGUUGACGUCAUACAACAAUCUCUAUUUCAUGGUGGCGUCAAAUAUUUUGUAUUAUGACCUCAAAUUUUUAGGGGAACCUGUGUGAUGUCCAGUAAUGGUGGACAAAUAGCGAAAGCGGAAAGGUGGAUUGGUAUCCAAUGAAUAUUUGAAACCACACUAUCGUAAUUGGGCUUGUAUAGUCCACACUGGUACAUAGUUCGCACCCCUUCUCAAUACACCUUACGGCUAAUCCUGGCUGACCACAGAAUAUGUCCUGCUCGAAUAAUUGACGUCAUACAACAAUUAUUUUUCCAUUUUGGCAUCAAAUAUUUUGUAUUAUGAUGUCUAAAUUUUACGGGAAACUGUGUGAUGUCCAGUAUUUGCGGACAAAUAGUGAUAAGCAUAAAGGUGUAUGUUCUCCCCUCGAAAUUUCAAAAAAAAAUAUUUUUUGUUACUGUAUGAAAGGGUCAAAUGAAACUUGUAAUUUCAAAUCUUGUGUUGUCAAUUGUGGUAUUUAUUUUCUUGAAAAAACAUGUUUUCCAUCAUCAAACAGAAGCUGAAACUGCUUGCUAAUGAUUCCAGAACACUUCACAAUUGUAAAAAUAAGUCAAAAUCACACAAAAAAAUGUAGAAACUUGUGUACGGUGCAGUCCGGUGUAUCUGCGCACCUAAGACUUAUGACUUCACCAUGUGUUGACUUCAUUCAACUAAUAAAAUUAUUAGUUUGUAGGGUUUAACCCUCAAGAUUUUGUAUAAUGUGUGUUUAAAAGUGGGGGAACCCCUGUUCUGAGAGUUCCUCCAAUGUCCGGUGAUUUCGUGCAUGCCUUCCAAAAAUAGCUUAUUUUGAAUAGAGGAAAGAUUUGCUGCUACGAAAGGUAGCUAAAUUCAAACCAAAUACACUGCCAAGGAUGCAGAACAAAAAUUAUUUCAAUCUGAUAAAAAUUGACUUAAGUAAAACAAAUUUUAUCUGUAAUGUAUUUUUUUUAAUGGACAUUGGUCAAAUAUUGUAAAUCACGGGAUUUCAGUUAUUAUUUCAAUCUGGAAGUUUUUAAUUUUAUUCUUUUUUAUCCCUUUGGAAUGCUAAAACAAUAACAAGAACAAUUUUAUUUGUGUUACUGUGUUGACAUGACGAAAUCACCUAAUGCGCGGUAUCACCGGCCGUGCGGACACAGGGGACUCCACUGUAUGUUUAAACUGGAGGUUUGAAUAGUGGGUGUUAAAUUUAAAAAAAAAACGAUGAGAGUCGAAAUCCGUAUGUAAGAGAUAUCACCAUAAUACAACUUUGAAAGUAAAACAGUUUCAUCCUUAUGUAAAACUGAAUUUGAUUCAUAUCUGUCACAUUAAUGUUUGAAGGGUCUUAAGCUAAUACAAAACAUAUUAGUUAGUAUGAAAACACCAAAAUGGAACAAAUAAUAACCGAUUACAUUUUGUAGUUAACACAUCAAAAGAUGGUUUAAAGUUGUCUUGCCUAUUGUUACUUUAUAGUCCACACCCCUGUCUGGCAGGUUCAAUUUAAUAAAACUGUGGACUAUAGAUUAUAGAAGCCUUUUAACGGUAAAACAUUUAACUUGAUUUACAAUGUAUGUUUUUGUCUUUUUUUAGAAAUGGCUGAUAACAGUGGCACAAGUGAUUCCACAGGAAGUGGCACAAGUGAUUCCACAGGAAGUGGAUCAAGUGGGUCCACAGGAAGUGGCAGUAAUACUGAAGGCAAUACAGGACAACAAACUGGUGGCUCUGUAUUGGUAAGUCAAUCAUGUUACAAAUUUAUAUCACAUGUAAAACGUAGAUAUCUAACAUGGAUGUGCCAAACACUUAAAGUAAUUAAGUUUAAAAUUACUUUUGGUGGAGAUUUUUCAUAGUAAAUGCAUGUCAUUGUUGAUGUUGACUUUAUGAUUAUUGAAUCUGUUAUAAAGUCACAUACCAGUGAUUUAUUUUCAUGCCUUUAGCAAGUGGAAAAAUAAUGUAAAUAUAAAUUGUUUUGAAUAUGUAAAACUUGGAUGUUUCAUUAUUUUCUACAUCAAGCUGAUCAUAGAAUUGUGAAACAAAUCUCAGCAAAAUGGGUUAGAAAGGGCUUUAACUAAAAUAAAGAAGCGGUGAAAAUAAGUUUGUUUACAGAAAUUAUUAAAAAAGUUUGUUCAGUUUAUUGUGUAUUUGGUUUUUUUUAAUUUGUACAUCAAGCAUACAAAUUUGACGGACAAGUAUUUAUACAUACAAACAUGGGGAUGCCACAAAAUAUUUUUUGGAUAAGCCAAACAAAACACAUAUAUGGACAUGUCACUUGAAACGCAUAUUGGGAUUUGCCACAAAAACAUGCAUGGAAAUGCCACACAAAACACAUACUGGUAAAUGGCCUUGCCACAAAAACAUGCAUGAACAUGUCACACAAAACACAUAUAUGGACGCCACACAAAACACAUAAAUGGCCUUGCCACAAAAUCUUGCAUGGGAAUGCCUAACAAAGCACAAAUAGCACAGGAGGAAAAAAAUAAUUCUGUAACUAUAAAUGAAUAAAGAAAACAUAAACUGAAACAACUGUUUUUGUGGUUAUAGUUUAAUUGUAUUCUCAGUUAUGAAUUGAACAAUAUAAACUAAAACAUAUUAAAGAAAUAGAGCAUCAACGCGACGCGACAAACGAAAUUAAAAAAAUACAGUUAUUUUUAUUUACGCAAAAUGUGAUGCUAUCCAAAAUUUCUGGGGAGAACACUGUCAGUAUAUGAUUAUGAUAAAAAAAACAUACAUGAACCUGCCACAUAAAACAUAUGUUUAAAGAUAUGCAACAAAACAGUGUAAAUGAUAUGAUGUUAUUAUUAUAUAUAUGCAUAUUUUUUUAUUUCAGACAUUUAUGAUGUCUAAGAAGAUAGAAUCAGCUCUGUGGGCCACCCGAAUCUUUACCAUUAUCUGUACUUUUCUCUUCUUCUUUCCACUUGUUGGGUAAUAUCAUUAUUCAUUUAAUACAAUAAGGGAGGUAAUCAAAAAUCAUAAGUGUGUAAAGUGAAAGACAACACUAUGGCCUGGGGGAAAACAAACAACAGUCCACAGAAAACUAAAGAUUGAACAAUACCAACCCCACAAAAUAAAAGUUGCCAAACACAGAUUUCUGGACGUGUAAGCAGUUUCUGCUCCACCUGAGGUACCUGUUCUGCUCAUCUUGCUCAUGACAAGUACAAAGUUAAUGUAAUGUCUUAGAAAGUUGUUUCUGCUAUUACUAAAAACAUGUUUUGCUGUAAAAAAUAUACAUAAAGUUUGAAAAAGUUAACAUUCGGCUAGAUAAACAGGUUUUGUAUCAAAAUCUCAAUGGAAUAUGUUGUUAUUAUUGUACUACAGUUAUACAUUAUUAAAAUUUAAAUUGAUCCUAUAUCAUUUAAGAUGAUGAUGUUUCUUAUUGUUGGAUUCUUGAAGUUGAUGCAUCUUUUAUAUAGAUAUAGGAAAAUGUGGUAUGAGUGCCAAAGAGACAACUCUCCAUCCAAAUAACAAUUUAUAAAAGUAAACCAUUAUAGUUCAAGGUACGGCCUACAACACAGAGCCUUGGCUCACACCGAACAGCAUGCUAUUAAAGGCCCCAAAAAUUACUACUGUAAAACCAUUCAAACAGGAGAACCAACGGUCUAAUCUAUAUAAAAACAUGAAACGAGAAACACGUACGAACUACAUAACCAGACAACAACUACUGUACAUAUGUAUAUUUUGUCUUAUUUUUUUUUAUCAAACACUUGUAUUUGACUUUAGACUUUAUAUUUUCAGUGGUGGCCCAUAUGGAUUUUAUCAGCGAGCAUUGAUCAGUAAUGUUUAGGCUUUAUAUUUUCAGUGGUGGCCCAUAUGGAUUUUAUCAGCGAGCAUUGAUCAGUAAUGCUGCAACAAGUGCACUGAGACUUCAUCAACGAUUACCAAACUUUCAACUGAACAGACAGUUUUUAUCCCUCUUGUUAGCAGAAGACAGCUGCCAUUAUUUGAUUUAUUCUCUCAUGUUUAUGAAUAGCUAUCCAUUAACAAGUAUCCUUUUUCGUUCAUCAGAAGUUGUCACUUUCAAAUUAUAACAAGAAAUGCUCAGACAAAUUACCAGUGGAAGUUAAAAAUGCACAAAUGACAACCUGGGGGGACAUUCUUAAUUUUUAUUAAAUAAAGGCAACAGUAGUAUACCCCUGUUUGAAAUUCAGAAAUCGAUUGAGAAAAAACCAAAUCCGAGUUACAAACUAAAAUUGAAGGAAACACAUCAAAUAUAAGAUGAGAACUUUGACACAACAGAAACACAACACUAAAAGGCAACACACACAGAAACGAACUAUAAUAAAACAAUGGCCAUUUUCCUGACUUGGUAAAGGACAUUCUAAAAAAAAACUAGAGGCUCUAAAGAGCCUGUGUCGCUCACCUUGGUCUAUGUGAAUACAUGUAUUAAACAAAGGACACAGAUGGAUUCAAGACAAAAUUGUGGUUUGGUGAUGGUGAUGUGUUUGUAGAUCUUACUUUACUGAACAUUCUUGCUGCUUACAAUUAUCUCUGUCUAUAAUGAACUUGGCCCAGUAGUAACAGUGGAAAAUGUUAGUAAAAUUUUACAUAUUUUGUGAAAAUUGUUAAAAAAUGACUAUAUAAAGGGCAAUAACUCCUUAGGGGGUCAAUUGACCAUUUUGGUCAUGUUGACUUCUUUUCAGGUCUUACUUUGCUGUACAUUAUUGCUGUUUACAGUUUAUCUCUAUCUAUAAUAAUAUUCAAGAUAAUAACCAAAAACAGCAAAAUGUCCUUAAAAUUACCAAUUCAGGGGCAGCAACCCAACAAAGGGUUGUCCGAUUGGUCUGUAAAUUUCAGGGCAGAUAGAUCUUGACCUGAUUAACAAUUUUACACCAUGUCAGAUUUGCUCUAAAUGCUUUAGUUUUUGAGUUAUAACCCAAAAACUGCAUUUUACCCCUAUGUUCUAUUUUAGCCGUGGCGGCCAUCUUGGUUGGUAGACUGAGUCACCGGACACAUUUUUUAAACUAGAUACCCCAAAGAUGAUUGUGGCCAAGUUUGGAUUAAUUUGGCCCAGUAGUUUCAGAGAAGAAGAUUUUUGUAAAAGAUUACUAAGAUUUACGAAACAUGGUUAAAAAUUGACUAUUAAGGGCAAUAACUCCUAAAGGGGUCACCUGACCAUUUCGGUCACGUUGACUUAUUUGUAAAUCUUACUUUGCUGAACAUUAUUGCUGUUUACAGUUUAUCUCUAUCUAUAAUAAUGUUCAAGAUAAUAACCAAAAACAGUAAAAUUUCCUUAAAAUUACCAAUUCAGGGGCAGCAAUCCAACAGUAGGUUGUCUGAUUCAUCUGAAAAUUUCAGGGCAGAUAGAUCUUGACCUAAAUGCUUUGGUUUUUGAGUUAUAAGCCAAAAACUGCAUUUUAGCCCUAUGUUCUAUUUUUAGACCGACCGGGUCAGCGGACACAUUUUUUAAACUAGAUACCCCAAUGAUGAUUGUGGCCAAGUUUGGUUUAAUUUGGCCCAGUUGUUUCAGAGGAGAAGAUUUUUGUAAAAGUUAACGACGCAGGACAACGCCAGACACCGGACGCAAAGUGAUGAGAAAAGCUCACUUGGCCCUUUGGGCCAGGUGAGCUAAAAAUGGUGGGUUGAACCUGGUUUAUUGAACAUGGUCUAUAAAAGAGAGGCAAACUAUACCAAAAGGAUAUUUAAACCUAUAAGUGGAAAAUGAACCAACAACACCAUGGCAAAAAAUAAUGAAAGAAACAGUAUACAUGGAAAUCUAAAGACUUAGCAACACAAACCCCAUUACAAACCAGGUCUGAUUUUGUGUGCUCUGGAAGGCUAAGAGGAUUCUGCUUUACAUGUACAUGUAUAAGAGAAUGCAUAAAAUUUAUGAUUCAAAUGAAAUGCAUAUGAACUUUUUAAGUAUAUUAUUACUUUUAUGGAUAAAUUUUAGUUGAAAUCUUCGCUCAACUUUUUUAAAAAAGAGUCUGAAAAAUGAAAGACUUAAAAUACCAAUAUUUAACAUUUUGAAGUUCUUUCAUGAAGUUUUAUAUAAAUGAUUUAUAUAUUGUUAUUCUUAACGUUUGUUUAGUGUCUCUAAUUCCUAUCUGCUUGUAUGCAGUGUUACAUGCAUGUAACUUUACAGUAAUGAUUUUGAAUGUAAGUAUAUUUAUGAUUUGAUAUAUAAAUCCAUAAAAUAUGUGUUGGUUUUUAGAUUUUUUUCAUCCUGUUUUUCUGAAUGGUGGGCAGGUGACAGGAGUUAAGGUCCUUGAUAGAUUGGAAAAUAAGCAUAAAAUGUGGAAGGUUUGGAAAAAAACAGAAAUCGUCUUUCAAAAUACAGUUUUGUUGCCAAUUUGACAGCUCAUUUCUUGUUUCUUAAUAGACAACUUUCGAGUUUGUCUGUCGCCGGAAAAAACUCGUCAAUUAUGCACUCCUAACUGACAUGCUUUACCAGAUAGUGGGGAUUGCCUGUAUCCCUGCACUAUAAACUUUCAUCAAGCGCUUAGUGAUCGUCAUUGUACACGAUAACCUAGAAAUAAUGUUUGUCAUGUAGGUACUUGAUCACAAUUCCCUAAUGUCAGCAGUGCUGAUUGAUAAUUAUGAGAAUUAAAUAUGCCAAAUAAAUUGUGCAAUAUAGCAUCAUAGUUUUUCAACCACUCGCUCAACAUUGAAAGGAAGUGACGAUGCCUCAAAACGCUUGAAUGAUGUUCACUAAAAUCAAAUUUUGGACAGAAAUGCAUCAAACUCGAAAGUUGUCUAUUGUAUUGCUAUUCUUCAAAUCAAAAUCCCAUUUAGGUCUUCAGCAUGAACAUAAGCUCAGAUCUCACUAAUAUUUUCAGCAGCAUCCAGCAUCAGUUUGAGCAGAAUCUGUUUAUGAUGCUAUAAAACUGAUGUUUUAACAUAUUAAAACAACGAUAUAAAUACAUGUAGUCUCAAAAACCAGUGUGCAAGUUUUGAAUAGAUUUUAGUUUGAAUAAAUAACUUCUCUGAAAAACAAAUCUAAUGUUAUUGCAUUGUUAAAUUUUAAAUAAUUUUAAGCUAUUAUUAACUGUUAUUAUUGUUUUUCUUCAUAGGUUAUGGGUCCACAGUCCAUUCAGUUUGUCAGAAAUAUGAUAACCAAACUACAGGCUCAGCAAGUCAGUAUAUUGAGAUUUAUAGCCUGUACCGAGAUAUUUAUUAUGCCAGCUGUCUUUUUAAUGACAUUUACGUAAGUGUUUUUAAUAUGAAAAAGAAACUAUGGAAAAUUGAAACGGAUGAUUCCUUAAGGUUAAUCCAAAUUUUCUGUAGGUUUGAGGCAUUUGACUCAUGGACUUUAACAGGGUUAUAUUGUAUUUUCUUAACAUUUUGAAGGUGAAAAUCAGCUAUUUCAAGUAUUAUGAUAUAAAAUGAGAUGUGGUAUGAUUGUCAAUGAGGCAGCUUUCCAAGGGAGACUAAUUGAUGACUGUCUUUAGGUCACCAUACACCUUUAAGAAUGAACAAAUUUUGUAUGGUGAUGUAAACUUUAAAAGGCAUGUAAAAAUAUGAAACAAUUCAAUAAAAAAACAGAUUUAUGCUUAAUACAAUAUUUAAAAAUCAAAUUUGGUAGACAACCAAUGAAAAAAAACCUAGGCUCCUAACUUGAGACAGGCGCAUAAAGACCUAAAGUAUCAAUAUUCUAGAAAACCUGUAUCUUUCUUGCUCAGCUAAAACAGCAGAAGUUCUUACCAUUGAAAAUGUUACAUAGGUUUAAUUUUACAUUAGCAGUGUUCUCCCCAGGAUUUUUGUAUAGCGCUGUGGUAAGCGCGUAAUUUUCGACAAUUCUCAGUAACUUUAUCGCGGCGUGCGGUUUGUUUGUAAUUGAUUUGUUAUGUUUUUAUUAUAUCAUGCUGUUGAUGUUUUCCUCUGUUAUGAUGUCCUUGUCAUGCUCAUGGAAGUACAGUGUAUCCCUUAAUGAUGCUUUGUUUGUUAAUGUUAUUGUCUGGAUAUAAAGUCUGAAGAGUCUUUUUUUCCAUUGUAAAUUCAUAUAUUAAAUCCUCAUACUAUCUAUGUAUAAACUGAAGGAAGAGUCUUUUUCCAUGAUGGAUCUACACCAGACUGCUGGCCAAGAUUUCUUAGCACCAUCAGGUAAUGUUGCAGAACAUGUAGGACCAAUAAUAAAGUCAUUGUCAGCUUCUGUUUGGUUUUGUAACAAACUGUAGCAGUGUACUGUUUACCUUACGACGUUUGACAGGAAUUGACAUUUUUUAGCAUAAAGAUUUCUCAUUUUUAUGACCUAAACGUUUUAUAUAUUUAAAUGGCCUCAUCCAAGCUGGACAUCGAGAAAGUAAAAGUUCUCAAGUCGUAUCAGCUUGGGGUUUGUUUUGCUAAUCAAAUUGUUAUCAAAUGGAAGAAUUUCUGACUAAAUUAUAAGUUCAAAUAGGGAUAAUAUAAUAUUUAAAAGACUUGAUCAUUUUCGGGGUUCGUAAUGGAUAGUAAACCAGCAAAUAAUUUGUAACAAACCCUGUGUUUGAUCGUUUUUUAAAAUCAUCGUUUGUUCAAAGUUCGUAAAACAAGUUUGUGAGUGACGUCGGGAAAUGCGGUCAAUUCAUUUCAUCACAUUUCAUCAUAUAUGGCCUCUAUAUUUUCUUUAAAUUAAAAAAAUCGAUGUCAAUGUUUGAAAUCUUGUUUUAUUUUGAUCUUCUAAAAACGCAUUUUGUAAAAUUUAUUAGACUGGUCCCGCGAAGUUACUUUAAUACAACGGAAAUAAUUCAUUCAAAAAUCGUAAACCAGUCGAUCACGUGAUCCGAAGUGAAAAAUAGUGGGAAAUUUGAAAAAAACGGAAAAAAAUAUAGCGACGCGGUUGCGUUGGAUAGCGCUGCGGUCAGUGCAAUAGGACAGCGGGGAAUUGCAAUAGCGCUGAAAAGCGCUGUGCUAAAACGGCCUGGGGAGAACACUGAUUAGUACAAGGAACUCCUUGGCUAUCAUACAUGUAUAGCAUAUUUUUAAUUGUAUGUAGACACAAUGGUUAUUACUCUUUUCCUACUAAACAAAGCAACAAGAACAAAUGUCAUUACAAAAGUAUGUUUAUCGCCAAGUAAAAUUAAGAAUGGAAAUGGGGAAUGUGUCAAAGAGACAACAACCCAACCAUAGAACAGUAGAAGGUCAUCAAUAGGUCUUCAAUGAAGUGAGAAACACCUCCACCCGGAGGCGUCCUUCAGCUGGCCCCUAAAUAAAUAUAUAUACUAGUUCAGUGAUAAUGAACGCCAUACUAAACUCAAAUUGUACACAAGAAACUAAAAUUAAAAAUAAUACAAGACUUACAAAGGCACAAGGCUCCUGUUUUAAAUAAAUUUAUUUAUUUUUUCCUGAUUUUAAAUAACUCAAACAGUAUACAAAAUUCAAGCAUUUCCAUAAGGUUUUAUAAAAUAAAGUGUUUUUUUUUUUUUUUUACCAUUUGUACCAUACGAGAAUUGUUUGUUUGAUUAAUCAUGCACCAUUGAUAUAUUUGUAUUACAGUGGUAAAUGUUCCUUGUUCCUACCAAUUAUGAUUAAUGAUUAAUUAUGCACAAUUGAUAUAUUACAGUGGUAAAUGUUCGCUGUUCUUACCAAUUAUGUUCUUACAGUGGUAACUGUUCACACUAUGAUUAAAUGAUUAAUUAUGCACAAUUGAUAUAUUACAGUGGUAAAUGUUCGCUGUUCUUACCAAUUAUGAUUAAUGAUUAAUUAUGCACAAUUGAUAUAUUACAGUGGUAAAUGUUCCUUGUUCUUACCAAUCAUCUACUACAGAUUUCUUCUUCUAAGAUAUUCUUCCAGGAGAAACCCAUAUUGCAGGUAAAUUAAGUCAAUUAUUAGUGUGUGAUGGAAGGGGAGAUAACUGCAAUCAGAAACAUGAACAUGGUUAGAAAAAUUAUUGUUAUCUCCUUUUUUACAUGUUGCAGAAAUAUAAAUUAAAGAUAUGUGGCAAAGCUUCAGACUUCUGACAAAAGAAUGUGUAUUGUGUAUUCUCAGAAACAUCAUAACAAACUGUAGUGUAAUAUACAUUUUAGUUUUAAGACAGCUUUAUGUAGUACAUUUAGUAACAACUCAUUGUAAAAUAUAGCAUGAUUUGAUAUAAAUGUGUGAGUAUAAAUGUAUUUAAAAUUUUAUUAUUUAUUCGUACUGUGGAUUCAUAAUUAUUUGGAUACCAAUUUUCAUAGAAUUCAUGGGUAAAGAGAUUUUUUAUUUUUUUUUAUUUAUGAAAAGGAUACUGUUGCUGUUAUGCAAAAACCUUGUAUCUCAAUUUUUUGCGGAAAUCUUUUUAUCGAUUAUUUAGGAUUAAAUAUGUAUGUUCCACUGUAUGCGAAAAUAUCUGAUCUUCUAACCAAUCAUUUAUCUGAAUUCUGACAUGUGACGAAAAAGUGUAGUCGGAUUGGUGAGACUUUUUUUUUUUGCGAAAAUAUCUAAUCUCAAAAGAAAAACCCUUUGCACGGCAGCUGACAUUAUAACAGGUAAAGUUUUAUCAAUUUUAGGUUCUCAAAGCUAAUAUAUUAGCCAAAGCUAAUAUAUUAGCUUAAAAAUAAUGAAAAGCUUUGAAAAUACAAUAUAGGUGCAGAAAUUUUUGCUCGUCUUGGUCAUUGAUUGGUUAGAAGAUCAGAUAUUUUCGCAUACAGUUGAACAUACAUAUUUAAUUCUAAAUAAUCGAUAAAAAGAUUUCAGUUUUUACUGCCUUGUGUAAAAUUAUCAAAACCUUAGAUACGAGGUUUUUUCGUAACAGCGACGAUACAUAGAUUACAAGAAUGUGUCCCUAGUACAUGGAUGCACCAUCCGCACUAUCAUUUUCUAUUUUCAAUGGACCACGAAAUUGGGAGAAAAACUCUAAUUUGGUAUUAAAAUUAGAAAGAUCAUAUCAUAAGAAACAUGUGUACCAAGUUUCAAGUUGAUUGGACUUCAACUUCAUCAAAAACUACCUUGACCAAAAACUUAAACCUGAAGCGGGACAGGCGCAUGGACGAACAGAUGCACAGACAGAUGAACGAACUGACGCACGGAGGCACAGACAAUAAAACAUAAUGCCCAUAAAUGGAUCAUAAAAAUCAUCAUCACUACCAAAAUGUGUUUUGCAUACUGCUUCAGUAGAUUUUGAUUGACAAAACAAUCAAAGAAUCUAUUGGUAUAAAAGUUGUUAAGAAUAAAAAUCUAUAGAAGGUAUACAAUAGCUUGAAAUAGCAAGCAACCAAACAAUACAUGUUAUUAUGCUGAAAUAUAAGGUUUUCAUAGCAUGUCAUUACUUUAAAAAGCUGCAAAUGUUAAUUCAUAUGAUAGUUAUUCAGUUCUUAAAGUUUUCUUGUUGUUUUGUAGGACUCUGUUCCAUGAACUAAGAGUAAGUAUAGAAUAUUUAUGUAGCAAGCCUCAGUGUCCAGCUAUGGUGAGGAACAUGUUAACCAAGAUCACAGCUUUUGUUUCAAGGCUGGCUCCUACUGUAGCAUAGAAGUGAUCUCCAAUCAGAAGGUGAGAAUGUUGGACAGGAAGUACAGAGUGUGUUCUGUUUGAAAAUAAGAUAUUGUGUUCAGAUGUAUCAGAAGAGGAUUGUAAUGGAUGUGAACAUUGAGAAGGAUUUGUGAUAUGUUGUCAUAGUAAUUUGUGACUAUUUUAUGUUUUCCAAAAUAUUGGAGUAAAAUAUUUUCUUUAAUAAUAAGCUUUAGUAUUUUAUACUCUAAAAACAAAUUAAUAACAAAAAUACUGUACUGUCAGAAAAUAGGGGAUUUUUGUAACAUUACCAAUGAAAAAUUUGUCUUUUUGUAGCUGAAAACAUGUAAAUCAUUUUUAUUUGGAACAAGUUUUCACUGUUUUAUGCCCUAUACCUAAGAUUACCCAUGUCUGUUCUCUUAUAAUUUUGAAAUCCAAAAGUUGUCUAAUUAAGAGAUAACUGUAUUGUAUUUGAAGCUUUAAGGACGUCCAUGGGUAGUUUUACUGUCGCAAAUUUAGUUUACCUGGCGACGCGUAGCAUAGACAGGUAAACGGGUAUUUGCGACAAUAAAACUACCGAUGGUUUGCAAAGCUCCAAAUACAAUACAGUUUUCUCUGUUCUAAUGCAAAACAAGUUCAUAAUAAAAUUUCAAUCAUUAUUUCAGUGUAAAAUCUUCAUUAAAGAAAAUCCCGCGAAAAGAUGUUAUCUUCUCUGGCCCCUACACUAGGUGAAGUCAUAGGUAUGCUACUGGUGUCAAACAUUAACACCGGUGCGUUUCUAGCUUCUGUGCCGCUUCAGAAUGUAAAAAAAAUUGAUAAAAAGAAGAUUUUUAGGUGCAACAUGUGAGUUUUUUGGCUUAUUAUUGUAGAAAUUACAUGUCAAUACAUUCAGCAAUUCAAAAUGUCGUCUACCUUAGUUAUAGACAAGGAGAUAGAGAAUUUUACGCUAACUGUCAUCCAAUCAGAACCAUUGAUACAAAAUAAUUGCAUUAGAAUAGGUUUUUUAUAUCACACCUAGCCAAUAAUGAGAAUUUGUUUGGUUUGUAAGUGUAUAGUGAUGAGUAACAGAUCAAUAUCUAUUUAAUGAAGAAACAUUUAUUCAGUAUAACUUACAACAAUUUGAGUUUUAAGAUUGCUUAUGACAAAAACCCCUAGAUACGUUUACCCACAUUUGCUGACACAAUGGUUUUUUGGUGUCCAUUUUGAAAUGUUCACUCUAUUUUUUGGGAGCAGUCCAGGUAUUAAUGUUAUAACAUCAUAAUUUACCAUAAGGACCAACCAUCAUUAUUUGUGUAGUUCAUUUUUUCACCAGCAGAUGCAUUUUUAUUUUUCACUUUUUGGGACAUAACUAAGUUGUAAAACUUGUGUCUGAUCCAUGUCAUUUUGAACAAUAAAAUAUGCUUUAAAAAAAAUUUGUAAUUGCUUUUUUCUUUUGUAGUAAACAAUUUCAUUAUUGUAAGAUAAUGGUAGACAUUUUUUUCUCUGACUUGAGAACUCUUAUUGGUAUUGUCCUUUUGACAGAAAUACUCUUAAAAUUGAAAUUUACUCCUUCAAAGUUGCUGCAUUGAAAUCAUUGUGUUAGUAAACUUGGUUAUUUAUUAUAUUAUUCAGUGUAAUAUUGUAUAUCAUAGAUGUUACAGUGAUAAACAAACUACUGUGGAUUCAGUAUUUUUCAUUGGAUUUCAAUUUUUCGUGGAAUUUCGUGGGAACAGUAAAACCAAGAAAUUAAAUGUUCAAAGAAUGACAAAUUUUUCAGUAGGCAUGUGUGCAGGUUUCUGCAAAACCACGAAAUAAAAUACCCACGAACAUGCACAUUUUCCUUAAUCCAGGAAAACUGAUACCCAAAAAAAUAAAUAAAUUCACAAUAUAUUUGGAAAAUGAUGUUUGCUUACUAAACUUUGUGAAAUAUUUAGGUCUGAGCUGUUUUCAGAUACAUGUAUAUAGGUGUGCAAUAUAAUGUAUUUAUAAACUUCUUGUCAAUUGUUUUUGUUUACAGUGACAGUUAAAUAUUAGUAGUUAAUUUCUCACAGUAGGCAAAGACACUAAUGUAACUAUGUUGUUGUGUAUAUAUUUUUAUAAAGAUAGAUAAUUUUCAAUGCUGAAUUUAUACAACACGCUACAAUUGUAGUGAGGUAGCAAUACCAAGGAAACAUCUAGAUACAGUGUAGGGGCCUCAGUGGCCAAGUGAUCCAAGUAUUUCUACUACAAUAAUCACUAGCAGGUCAACACUGAGGUUGUGAGUUAGAACUCAGCUCAUGGGGGUGCACUAGACUCCAAUCUUAAAUGACUAUGAUUGUUAGUUUUCCUAUCAAAGGUCAGUGAUUUUCAUUGGGCACUCCAGCUUCCUCCACCAAAAAAAACCUAACCACCACGAAAUAGCCAAAAAGUGGCGCUUAAAAGUGGUUUUCAAACACCAACAAUCAAUCAAUCAAUAUUAUAGAUACAGUGUAAAAGGGAGACCACUGACAUAAAUCUUAUGAAGCAAUUUUAUAAUAUUCUCAAUUAGAAACGGCAUUUACAUCAAUAGAAUUAGCAUUGGUCUUUUUAGUGAUCACAUUGUCAUUUACAUCCUAGUCUUUUUAGUGAUCACAUGGUCAUUUACAUCCUGGUCUUUUUAGUGAUCACAUUGACAUUUACAUCCUGGUCUUUUUAGUGAUCACAUUGUCAUUUACAUCCUGGUCUUUUUAGUGAUCACCAAUGGUCAUUUACAUCCUGUCUUUUUUAGUGAUCACAUGUCAUUUACAUCCUGGUCUUUUUAUUGAUCACAUUGUCAUUUACAUCCUGGUCUUUUUAGUGAUCACAUUGACAUUUACAUCCUGGUCUUUUUAGUGAUCACAUUGUCAUUUACAUCCUGGUCUUUUUAGUGAUCACAUUGUCAUUUACAUCCUGGUCUUUUUAGUGAUCACAUUGGUCAUUUACAUCCUGGUCUUUUUAGUGAUCACAUGGUCAUUUACAUCCUGGUCUUUUUAGUGAUCACAUGGUAAUUUACAUCAAGGCCUUGAAGGCAUAAAACUUUGAUCAGUGCUCGGUGCACAAAAAUCAUGCUCGAAACAUGAAAUCCAGCAGUUUGAUUGGUUGAUUUUCGAGUCUGAGUACAAAAAUCAUGCUCGAAAGUUUUAUGAACCGUGAGGCCUGGUCUUUUUAGUGAUCACAUUGACAUUGACAUCCUGGUCUUUUUAGUGAUCACAUUGACAUUUACAUCCUGGUCUUUUUAGUGAUCACAUUGACAUUUACAUCCUGGUCUUUUUAGUGAUCACAUUGACAUUUACUUCCUGGUCUUUUUAGUGAUCACAUGGUUAAUUAUUCUAGUGUUUCCUGAACAAAUUCUCUUUCCAUGAUAGUUUUUCCUCUGAAGGAAAGUUAUUUAUUUCUCAACUAUGACAUCACAAUAAUAAGAUUAUUCUGAAUAUGCAUUUAACAAUAAACAUGUUUAAUAUUUGCCACUUGAAUAAUAGGCAAUCAUACUUUUAACAUUGAGUUAUUUUAAUAACAUUAGAACAUGACAAUGAGGUGGAAGAGAGAGAAAGAGACUUGGUCAAAUCAAUAACAUUUAUGUCUUUCCAAAAUAUUUGGAAAUGAUCACAUUUUUGAUUUAAAAUGUCACCUUUUUUUCUUGAAAAUAUUUGAAACAAUUAAGUUUUAUAUGUAUGGCGUAUGCUAAUCAGAUUUUCAUUGUAAACAGAUGUGGAAAAGAUUGACCUUUGCUGUCCUAGUGAGAACAGGACAAAUUCAUUGUUUUUUUAAUUUAAUUUUCAAACUUUUCAUAUAUUGUAACAAGUCUUUAUGAGAGUAAACGAUGUUAAAUAUAUUUAUGUUUAAAAAUCUAGUCCUUUCAAUGGAUGCUUGAACAAUUCAAUUAAAACAUCUUUUCUACCAGUUAUGUGUAUAUGUUACUGUCUUGUUUUAUUUAGAUAAAAAAAAGGUGCAAUGUAUACAUGAAUGAGACUGCAACCCAACAACAACAAAAAUCAACCCAAAAGAUUAACAUGCAUUCCUAUUUGAUUUUGAAAUAGCCUUCAAUGCAAUUUUUAACAUUUUCUCAGUACACACAUAAUGCAUCAUGUAUAAUGUACUCUUGGUGAAGUUUAAUACACAAUGACUGCUUGUGACCCAUGAAAAUAAAUGAAUUCACAGUAUGCCAAUAUAUAGGUCACACAUACAUUUCUGGCAUUACAAGUUGUCACAAAAUUGAAUAGAAGGAAAUGUUAGGAAAACCAGAUGACAAAAAAUUAGCAAAAAACAUUUAAAGGACACUUGUCAUUAUUAUUGGCCUCAAACAAAUAUCUACAAUCAGAAUCAGUCACAAACACAUACCUGAUACUUGAUAACAAAAUACUUGUCUGUCAAUAAAUAUAUACAAC